AUUCUUUCAAUUUACCAUAAGACUUCCUAAGAAGAUGUACAUUACAACACGCUCGGUAUAUACCAAUUGCUCCAAAUAGAUGUAUUUAGACCUUUAUUAUAACUAUUAAUAAUGGCAUAUGGUUAUAUAAAAUGCUUGCAUAUGCCCUCGUCUCUUGACAAUAUGGAAAAUGUUACUUAGUAUACAAUCCAAGGUAAAAUAAAUAAUGAGAAGUUAAUAAGGGGUGAAAGUGAAACAAACACAUUUAUUCAUCCAGUGAUGAAAUUCAUAGAUUAAUUAGAUUUUAUGAAACGAAAUUCCUAACACACAUCUCCUCAAUUCACCAUUUUUAAAUAAAUGGUUCCAUAUAUAUUAUUGAAUUAACUAAGAAGAUCAGGCCUGGUUCUUUCAACAGCCAAACAAGUGCUAAGCAAUUUCUUACUACCCUGAUAGAAAGUUGCAAAUUCAGCUGGCAUUGGUGUUUUCUUGAAUUCACCUUUACAAUCAUCCAAUCUUGUCAUUGCUGCUGAUAUUUUGAUGUUUGCACUUUUAGUUUUGUCACCUGUUUUCAACAACUCUUCUACCUCUUUCAAUGUCUCGAGAGCAUCAUUAUAUGAUUCUUUGCACCCUUUCCCAAUCUUAUUUUUUAAUUUUUGAUCUGUUGUUGGUGGCAAUUUUGCUAGCAUAUUUGCCAUAAUUGGCUCUGCCAAUUUAAUUUGCAUAAUUGUCUCUGACAACACACCAGUAAUUGCCUCUUGCCAUGUGUUAGCUGCCUUGACAACUUCAUUGCAAAAGGGCUUGUCUAAGGCUUUCACACAAAAUGGGCUUUCUUUGUAUGCUGGGGCUUCUUGUGCACUUGAUUGACAUGCAAAUAAAACACAAGUUAAAGCCAGAGAGACCAAUGACAAAGUAACCCCAUUUCUAUAAGACAUUUUCUAUUUUUUAUAUUGAUUUUUUUUUUUGCAAUUGUGAUUAUGUUUUUUUUUUUUUGUCACUUUUCUAAGAUGGUCUUCUCUGGGUUAAAUUUGAAAUGAAGAGGUAAAAAGUAUAUAUAAGUUUGUUUGGAACGGUAAUUGGGUGGAUGUUUGGAAUAUAUGGCUUGCAUUAUUUUGCUCUUUUGUUGUUGAAUUUUCCACAGCAUAAUGAGCACAUUUAUGAAUUAACUAGGAGUAGUUGUUUAUUCUCCCUCCGUUUAAAAAAGAAUAACCUACUUUGACUUGAUACAAAGUUUAAGAAAAAAAAAAAAACUUUUGAAUCUUGUGGCCUUAAAUUAAAGUUGUAUCAAAUGUAUCAAAAUGUCCUUUAAUCUUAUGAUCCUAAAUAUUAGAUAAAAUAUUAACCUAAAUAAUAAUAAUAAUAAUAAUAAUAAUAAUAAUAAUAAUAAUAAUAAUAAUAAUAAUAAUAAUAAUAAUAAUAAUAAUAAUAAUAAUAAUAAUUAGUAGAAAUUUACCAAAAAAAAUAGUAGAAGAAGCAGCAAUACAUGAGAUAUAAUAACAAUAAUAAUAAUAAUAUAAUAUUUUUAAAAAUUAAUAUUUUUAAUAAAAAAUGAUAAAAGAGAACAAAAAGGGAAAAAUAUAUGAAAAAUAAUAAUUAGUAGAAGUUUACCAAGAAAAAAAUAGUAGAAGAAGCAGCAAUACGUGGGAUAUAAUACUACUACUACUACUACUACUACUACUACUACUACUACUACUACUACUACUAAUAAUAAUAAUAAUAUAAGUAAAAAAUUAAUAUUAUAUGAAAAAAAUUAAAAUAAAUUGAUAGUAAUAUUUUAAUAUUGAUAACAUUAAUUUGAAAUAUUCUAUUUUAUUACAUUUAUUUUUAUUAUAGAAAAGUUAAUAUUUUUAAUAAAAAAUGAUAAAAUAAAAUAAAUAGGGAAAAAUAUGAAAAAAAUUAAAAUAAAUUGAUAGUAAUAUUUUAAUAUUGAUAACAUUAAUUUGAAAUAUUCUAUUUUAUUACAUUUAUUUUUAUUAUAGAAAACACCUAAUUGGUAUCAUUAAUUUCAAAUAUAUAAUUUUUGCAAACUCAAAAUAUCGAAUACUGUAAGAUAAUUAUGUCAUUUUAGAGUCAUCUUUCUAGUAUUCUAAAAAUUUUAAAAUCUUGAAUUUGAAAUGCAUUAUCUUUUUUUUCUAAAAUAAAAAAAAAUCAUUAUCAUUAACUUGAAAUUAGGAACAUAAGCUUAUCCCUUUCAAAUCCCUUUCAAAUAUAAUUUAAAAUAUAUUCAAAUAUUAAAUAAAAAAUAAAAUACUAAUCUAAAUAAUUUAUAUAUAUAUAAAAGCAAAACUAAAAGCAGACAAGAUGCCACAUGACAGCACAAUAGAAAGCCACAUGACAGUUUUUAAGACAAGGUUAUAAAUAUUGUAAUAAAAUUUUGAAUUAAAAUAUAAGAUGUUUGUAUUUAAAAAUAUUGAUUUUAUUUAAAAAUUAUCAUUAGCUUGAAAUUAGGAACAUAAGCUUAUCCCUUUCAAAUAUAAUUUAAAAUAUAUUCAAAUAUUAAAUAAAAAAUAAAAUAUUAACCUAAAUAAUAAUAAUAAUAAUUAGUAGAAGUUUACCAAGAAAAAAAUAGUAGAAGAAGGACCAGUACGUGAAAUAUAAUAAUAAUAAUAAUAAUAAUAAUAAUAAUAUAAGAUUUAAAAAAUUAAUAUUUUUAAUAAAAAAUGAUAAAAGAGAACAAAAAUGGAAAAACAUAUGAAAAAUAAUAAUUAGUAGAAGUUUACCAAUAAAAAAAUAGUAGAAGAAGUAGCAAUACGUGGGAAAUAAUAAUAAUAAUAAUAAUAAUAAUAAUAAUAAUAAUAUAAGUUAAAAAUUAAUAUUUUUAAUAAAAUAUGAUAAAAGAGAAUAAAAAGGGAAAAAUAUGAAAAAAGUUAAAAUAAAUUGAUAUUAAUAUUUUAAUAUCGAUAACAUUAAUUUGAAAUAUUUUGUUUUAUUAAAUUUAUUUUUCUCUAUAAUAUAUUACAAUUCAAAUUAAUCUCUAAAUAAUAUUAACUCAUUAUAAUUAUUUUCUAAAUUCUAUAAAUAUUUUGUUUCUAGUAGAAAACUAUUUUCCCCACAUUUAAACAUUUUUAUCAAAUUUUUUAAAUCAAAAUGAUGGGUAUUUUAGAUGACUAUAUAUCUUCGACAUGUUAGUAUCAUUGAGGUUAUACUUGAUUAAUGGUAAGGAUAUUUUAAUAUAUUUUUACAAAUUUUCAAUAAAUUAACACUACAAAAUUUGAGAGUUUUCAUUACUUUUUUUAUAUUUUAUUUUAUUAUGCCACAUAAAUUAAGAUGGGAUGAGAUGAUAAUUAGAAUAUAUCCAAAAUACAUAUAUUUUUUUAGUUAAAGUAUACAAAUAAAAAUAAAUGCGAAUACAAAAUCAAACAAAAGUCAAAGAAAUCAAAGCUGACCCAAAGCAAAUAAAGUAAAGGAUCGGAUUAUGGUCCAAUAAUUUUAAAAAUACAAGAAAAAUAUAAAUUAGGAAAGUAAACAAAUAUUAUUUGUUUUUGUCUGAACUCCAGAAGGUUCCUUUGAAAUUCUAUCUUUCCGCAAACAUUUUCUUUCUAUUAUGAUACUACAUAUUAUUUUAGCAAAAAAUUGAUGAAUAAGCUGAAAUUAUGAAGCUCAAAAUUAAACUUUUAUAGACCAAAUACUGAAGAGUAUGUUCCUACUAUAUUCAUUGAAUAACGGUGUGUCAAGCUUCGCUUGUAAUUCCAUCUUCUUUCCCUGUUUUCUUUAUUUUUGUUUACGCUUUAACCUGUUUGAAGAUUUGAUUUUCUUAACCGUUUUUUGCUUUAUAUUUUGUAUGUUUUGAUCUCUUAAAAUCACUGUUGCAUUAUAUGUUCUUAGUUUUGAUUUUUUGUUCCUCCUUUUGAUUUGUAUGUUCGAAGAUUUCAUUUUUUUAAAUUCAUUCUGAUUUAAUUUCUUGUUUCAGGUGCGAUUUGCUUGAUAUUUACAUAUAAUAUGUGUCAGGUAUGCUUAAUGUUGCCAAUUUUGAAUAUCCUGAUGUUUGCAUGUCAGCUCAGAUACUUGAAUUUGAGAAGAUACCAGAGGCCUCUAUCCUUUCAUCCCUUGGAUGGACCACGUCAAAUAAUAGAAGAUAUAUAUUUUUGUUAAAAAAAUACACAUCCUCAGAACUAUAUGUAAAUAAAACAACGAAUAACAUUAGAUGAUUGACUUUUAAUGUUGUUGAAUGCGUAGGUGAACGUCCAAUCAAAACCUUAAUCUACAUGCAUAUUUAAUAGCUAUGAGACUCCAUCGUUCGCCCUUACCAAUUAUCUGUUCUAUUUUUAAUUUUUAAUUAAUAAAACAUUCCUCAGCGCCGUCUAAGAAGUCCUAACAUACCUUGAAUGCUGAACACAUACCACGAACCCUCAAGAUUUCACCCUUUUCUUUCCCAAAAUUUCAAAACAUUCUCAAUCUAUCAAAUAUAUUAUUCAUAAGUAAGAGAAUUCAAUUUAUAAUUGAAUUUCAACCAUGAUAUCAUUUCACAUGUCAAUUUCAUAUUUUGUAAAUUUCAAACUUAGGGCUUCGUCUCAAGUUACUCCAAAUCUCAUACAUUUAACAAUGUUCAUAGAGUACAAUAUAUCUAAUAUUUAAUUACACAUGCUAAAUAUUAAAACUUAAAUCGUAAUAUGAUAACUAUAAGAAAAUCUGAAAUCAGAAAAUGAUACAGUACCUAAAAUAAUAAGUCAAUGCUUGAUUAUAUCCCUAUUUACAAGUUUCAUAAUAUCAGUUUUAACUAAUCAUUAGCUCAUGAUUUUCCAUCAUAAUCCCUUCAAUCAUUGUCCAUCCUUAGCCAUCCAAAAACUGGCUAAGUUUUCCAUCCAAAAAAAGUGUGUUGCACUUCUGUCACUUCCACACAACCAUUACUUAGAGUUAUACAUUCAAAUCAAUAUAAGAAAUAAUUAUGUGUAUACAUUUUAGCAGUUAGUGUAUAUGAACAGAAAUUUGAGGUUUGAUUAGAUUCAUCUGAAACAACAAUUUUAAAUUUUUACAACUAUUUUCGUCCGUCUUCUCUUGCAUUCAGAUAAAUUUAGUAUAUAAAUUUUUACUUGAUAUAUUAAUUAUAUUAAAGUACAAUAAAGAAUAGACAAAUCAAACAUAUAUCUUUGUAAAAAGAAAGUACUUGUUUUAUAAUUAUAUGAAAAUACAACAAAGGAUAGCAUGUGUUUCCUACCCUUUUAAUAUUGAUGAAUGCACAGAUAGUCGUUCAAGAAAAAUCCAAACCUAGAAGUACACCUAAUAUCUGCAACGACAACAAUCUAACUACCCGGAGAACUUACCCUUACCCUACAAUUAGUAUUCUUAUCGGGUAAGAGAUUAUUUAAUAGAUUCUCAGCUUAAGAAAUAAUAAUAUUAAUAAUUAAAAAAAUUAAAGAAUAAAUUAACAAACUUACCGCAAAAUUUGUACUAACCUAAAAUAGUUGUCAUCACAAUAUUUUGCGGAGAAAUUUUGACUUUUUGAGAGUCGUCACUUAAUUUCUGAAAAGGAAUUAAGAAACCUUUAGAGAGUUACUUCAAACAAUUCAAAACAGGAAAACGUUUGAGUUUUGAAGAUUCUGAGUAAGCAGUUCCUAUUAACAUUUUAGGAAGGUGUUAGGCACCUAAAACGUCCGCUAACUUGCGGUUAUCCAAUUUGUUUGAAAAUCAUCUCUUUUGACAAACUUGAAAAUCGACUUGUGGGAAAAGUAAUUGAUUAAGGAAAUUUUUUUUUGCAAAAUCAGUUUUUUAGCGACUUAGUGAGGAGGUUAACUAUAUUCGAACACUAAGCAAAUAAAAUAACGAAAGAGAAAUAGAGGAAGAAAUAAAUGAUUUGGGCCUUCAUACCCAAAUCCGUCACCCUGUCUUAGUCUAGAUAUUGGGCUUUCGGCCCGUCUUUCACCUGUCCUAGUCUGUAUUUCGAGCCUUUGGCUUUAGUAUUGCUCCACCUGUAUUAAAUUUACAACUUUGACUUCGAGGCCCAAAUGAAUGAAUGAAUGAAUAAAUAAAUAAAUAAAUAAAUAAAUAAAUAAAUAAAUAAGUAAAUAAAUAAAUAAAAGACGAUAAUAAAUUUAUAAAAUGAAAUAAUAAAUGAGACUUUUAUCUCUUAACCACUUCAAAGAUGGAACUUUAACUCAUUCUUCUUCUUUUGACUCUUUACACUCAUAUGCCGCGGAAAACGCUUUAGACUUCUUUUGGGCUUUAACUCGAAAUUAAUCACUUAUUUCUGCAGCUCAUGAUUUCUUAAAGUCGAGUUUAAGGAAUGGUCUAAAACAAAAUUAGUGGCUUUGAUACCAUUUCAAAGAGUCUAAUCACAAAUCUUAAAUAAUUUGUGAAGUUAUCCCCGACCAUUAUAAGUCCCUUCAAAAUUCUUACUGUUCUGUCUCUGUUUUGCUUCAAGCAUUUAAUUUAUAAAAUUAACUAGCUUGAUUAAAUUAAUUACAUACAGUAGGAGGUUUAAUUUUAGAGCUCUCAAAUAUUGAAGAAGAUCCAAAUUUCUAAAAAUCAAAUUUGAGACCUCUAUCUAAUAAGGUAUUAGAAACCUUUAAUUAGCCAUAUGAGUCAUCAACCCUUUGGUAGCACUAGACUUCUUAUUGUGAGCUAAGUUCAAAGUAUAUUUGAUAUCAACACAAUAAUUUUAGAGAACUCUCAUGUUCUUUUUUCUCACAAUUAAAAUUAGGAUUAGAUUGUGGUAUAGAAUAAUCCGAUAUACUGUAACAAUCACUAUCAAUUAGUUAGUAAUACAGGUCAAAGAGGUAUCUUAGCAUUCGAGGACAUGAAGACGUGAGGGAACACCUGAGCUUGUGGAGCUGCCUAACCAAGGAACAAGCUUUGAAGUGUAGAGAACAAGUCCCAGCACUCCAAAGCUGUCCAAGAAGUCAAGCCCCUUUGUUUGGGCUCAUUAAGGACCUUUAGGUCAUUUAUGUAACAAGUGUUGCCCUAACUUAUAAAUAGAACAAUUGGAUCAUUUUGUCAUUUAGACUUUGAUGAUAUGUUUUGAGAGCACCAUAGAGUGUCUUGUAAAGUGGAAUCCUUGUGUUGGUAACUUGCUUAGAAACGUUGGUUGUUUGGGGAUUCCAGUUCCCUUGAGUUCACGUAAGAGAUAGGUUUAUGUUGUGUGUGGUAUUAAAGGUUCAAGAGUAGAAUAAGGUCUUAGGUUGUUAAUAUUACAUCUCCAUUUGUCUAUCUUUCUAUCUUUACUUUGUUCUAAUUGUUGGUCUUCUUGUUCUAGUAUUGUAACCCGUGACUUGUUGUCAUUGUUAUAUCCUUCUUGUUAUUCAUCUGGUCUUCAUAUUGUUGUUGUUAAUCUUACUUUGGGUUGGUUGUUUCGGUGUUAAAACACACCUUUUACUCGUCAUUAUUGUUGUUAUUGUUGAAUCCGAGUGUGGUCUCUAAACGGUCCUUGAAUUUUCGGAUUUGUGGACUGUUUUGAGUGUGUUUUCUUGUAUUCUUGAUAAUUCCGGGAUCGGUUAGUGAGUCUAGCUUCGGUUUGUACACGUGAGUUCUCAUUAUAUGAUUUAUUAUGUGUGAUCUAAUAAAAUUAGACUAAAUUACGUGUAUUCUUUCAAUUUACCAUAAGACUUCCUAAGAAGAUGUACAUUACAACACGCUCGGUAUAUACCAAUUGCUCCAAAUAGAUGUAUUUAGACCUUUAUUAUAACUAUUAAUAAUGGCAUAUGGUUAUAUAAAAUGCUUGCAUAUGCCCUCGUCUCUUGACAAUAUGGAAAAUGUUACUUAGUAUACAAUCCAAGGUAAAAUAAAUAAUGAGAAGUUAAUAAGGGGUGAAAGUGAAACAAACACAUUUAUUCAUCCAGUGAUGAAAUUCAUAGAUUAAUUAGAUUUUAUGAAACGAAAUUCCUAACACACAUCUCCUCAAUUCACCAUUUUUAAAUAAAUGGUUCCAUAUAUAUUAUUGAAUUAACUAAGAAGAUCAGGCCUGGUUCUUUCAACAGCCAAACAAGUGCUAAGCAAUUUCUUACUACCCUGAUAGAAAGUUGCAAAUUCAGCUGGCAUUGGUGUUUUCUUGAAUUCACCUUUACAAUCAUCCAAUCUUGUCAUUGCUGCUGAUAUUUUGAUGUUUGCACUUUUAGUUUUGUCACCUGUUUUCAACAACUCUUCUACCUCUUUCAAUGUCUCGAGAGCAUCAUUAUAUGAUUCUUUGCACCCUUUCCCAAUCUUAUUUUUUAAUUUUUGAUCUGUUGUUGGUGGCAAUUUUGCUAGCAUAUUUGCCAUAAUUGGCUCUGCCAAUUUAAUUUGCAUAAUUGUCUCUGACAACACACCAGUAAUUGCCUCUUGCCAUGUGUUAGCUGCCUUGACAACUUCAUUGCAAAAGGGCUUGUCUAAGGCUUUCACACAAAAUGGGCUUUCUUUGUAUGCUGGGGCUUCUUGUGCACUUGAUUGACAUGCAAAUAAAACACAAGUUAAAGCCAGAGAGACCAAUGACAAAGUAACCCCAUUUCUAUAAGACAUUUUCUAUUUUUUAUAUUGAUUUUUUUUUUUGCAAUUGUGAUUAUGUUUUUUUUUUUUUGUCACUUUUCUAAGAUGGUCUUCUCUGGGUUAAAUUUGAAAUGAAGAGGUAAAAAGUAUAUAUAAGUUUGUUUGGAACGGUAAUUGGGUGGAUGUUUGGAAUAUAUGGCUUGCAUUAUUUUGCUCUUUUGUUGUUGAAUUUUCCACAGCAUAAUGAGCACAUUUAUGAAUUAACUAGGAGUAGUUGUUUAUUCUCCCUCCGUUUAAAAAAGAAUAACCUACUUUGACUUGAUACAAAGUUUAAGAAAAAAAAAAAAACUUUUGAAUCUUGUGGCCUUAAAUUAAAGUUGUAUCAAAUGUACCAAAAUGUCUUUUAAUUUUGUGGCCCUAAAUAUGUCAUUCAUGUGUAAAGUUAAAAUUAAAGUAUUAUAAAAAAAGUAAAAAAAUCAUUCAUUUUGAAACGGACUAAAAAGAAAAGUAAUCUCGGAGUAAGCUCUUUUCCAUGGACAAGGUCAUUCAAUUUUAAAGGAAGGGAGUAUUUGUUUUCCUUCUUCGUAUAACUUGUUUGACCACUUCUUUGCGUAAAACACGAACCGUGUUUUUCGGUAUAUUUUACUUCUAAUAUGAUGGUGGGGCUGAGGGAAAAAAAAGAAAGAAAGGGUGAUUUGUGGAAGAGGUAAUAUCAAAAGAAAAAAGGAUAAAAAAAAAAAAUGGGAAAAAACGCAAAUUUAGGAAGAUAAAGAGGGUCACAUCUAUAUAUAUUAUAUGUAUAAAAGUAAAAUUAAAAGAAGACAUGAUGCCACAUGACAACAAUAGAAAGCCACGUGGCAAUUUUUAGGACAAGGUUAUAAACAUUGUAAUAUAUUUGUAUUUAAAAAAUUAUCAUUAGCUUGAAAUUAGGAACAUAAGCUUGUCCCUUUCAAAUCUCUUUCAAAUAUAAUUUAAAAUAUAUUCAAAUAUUAACCUAAAUAAUAAUAAUAAUAAUAAUAAUAAUUAAUAGAAGUUUAGCAAAAAAAAUAGUAGAAGAAGCACCAAUACAUGAGAUAUAAUAACAAUGAUAAUAAUAAUAGUAAUAUAAUAUUUUUAAAAAUUAAUAUUUUUAAUAAAAAAUGAUAAAAGAGAACAAAAAGGAAAAAAUAUAUGAAAAAUAAUAAUUAGUAGAAGUUUACCAAGAAAAAAAUAGUAGAAGAAGCAUCAAUACGCGGGAAAUAAUAAUAAUAAUAAUAAUAAUAAUAAUAAUAAUAAUAAUAAUAAUAAUAAUAAUAAUAAUAAUAAUAAUAAUAAUAAUAAUAAUAAUAAUAAUAAUAAUAAUAAUAAUAAUAAUAAUAAUAAUAAUAAUAAUAAUAUAAGUAAAAAUUUAAUAUUUUUAAUAAAAAAUGAUAAAAGAAAAUAAAUAGGUAAAAAUAUGAAAAAAAUUAAAAUUAAUUGAUAGUAAUAUUUUAAUAUUGAUAACAUUAAUUUGAAAUAUUCUAUUUUAUUACAUUUAUUUUUAUUAUAUAAAACACCUAAUUGGUAUCAUUAAUUUCAAAUAUAUAUUUUUUGUAAACUCAAAAUAUCGAAUACUGUAAGAUAAUUAUGUCAUUUUAGAGUCAUCUUUCUAGGAUUCUAAAAAUUUUAAAAUCUUGAAUUUGAAAUGCAUUAUCUUUUUUUUCUAAAAUAAAAAAAAAUCAUUAUCAUUAACUUGAAAUUAGGAACAUAAGCUUAUCCCUUUCAAAUCCCUUUCAAAUAUAAUUUAAAAUAUAUUCAAAUAUUAAAUAAAAANNNNNNNNNNNNNNNNNNNNNNNNNNNNNNNNNNNNNNNNNNNNNNNNNNNNNNNNNNNNNNNNNNNNNNNNNNNNNNNNNNNNNNNNNNNNNNNNNNNNNNNNNNNNNNNNNNNNNNNNNNNNNNNNNNNNNNNNNNNNNNNNNNNNNNNNNNNNNNNNNNNNNNNNNNNNNNNNNNNNNNNNNNNNNNNNNNNNNNNNNNNNNNNNNNNNNNNNNNNNNNNNNNNNNNNNNNNNNNNNNNNNNNNNNNNNNNNNNNNNNNNNNNNNNNNNNNNNNNNNNNNNNNNNNNNNNNNNNNNNNNNNNNNNNNNNNNNNNNNNNNNNNNNNNNNNNNNNNNNNNNNNNNNNNNNNNNNNNNNNNNNNNNNNNNNNNNNNNNNNNNNNNNNNNNNNNNNNNNNNNNNNNNNNNNNNNNNNNNNNNNNNNNNNNNNNNNNNNNNNNNNNNNNNNNNNNNNNNNNNNNNNNNNNNNNNNNNNNNNNNNNNNNNNNNNNNNNNNNNNNNNNNNNNNNNNNNNNNNNNNNNNNNNNNNNNNNNNNNNNNNNNNNNNNNNNNNNNNNNNNNNNNNNNNNNNNNNNNNNNNNNNNNNNNNNNNNNNNNNNNNNNNNNNNCGUGUAUCAUAAAUUAUAUAUAUAUAUAUAUAUAUAUAUAUAUAUAUAUAAAAUGUAUAUAUAUUGUAUGUGUGUGUAUAGGACGACAUAUUUCUCCCACCAUAGAAAAAUAUCAGAGUCCUAAAAUAUUAGAGAAUGUUUUGUUAUUAAUAAGCAACAUUAAAUAAAAAUUUUAAAAUCACGUUCAAAUUAUUUUUCAAAAGUUUAUUACUUGUUUCAAUUCAUUCUAUUUUAUUUUUUCGUAUAAAUUGAAAUUGAAUUAAAUUAAUCUCUAAAUAGUAUUUAUCUAUUAUACUUAUUUUUAAAAUUUUAUAACAAUUUGUUUUUAAUAGAGAAGCAUUUCUUUUCUCGUACUUCAACAUAUUCUUUUCAAAAUAAAAAAGAAGUUUAUUUUAGAUGAUGAUACAUUGUGGACAUGCUAGCGUCAUUGAAGUUAUGCUUUAUUAAUGUUAAGGUUUGUUUAAUAUAUUCAUGUAUUUUUAACUUAUGAAAUAUUUUUUUUAUAAAAGUGCAUUAAUAAAUUAUUAUUAAACAUUAUUAAUAAGCAUGACUAAAUAAAUUAAUGCAUAAAAUUAUCUUCAAAACUUUUUUUCUUCAAAUGAAAAAAGGACCAAAAAUAUUUUUUGUGUUUCAAUUCAUACUAUUUAAUUUUUUCUCUAUAAUAUAUUACAAUUCAAAUUAAUCUCUAAAUAAUAUUAACUCAUUAUAAUUAUUUUCUAAAUUCUAUAAAUAUUUUGUUUCUAGUAGAAAACUAUUUUCCCCACAUUUAAACAUUUUUAUCAAAUUUUUAAAAUCAAAAUGAAGGGUAUUUUAGAUGACUAUAUAUCUUUGACAUGUUAGUAUCAUUGAGGUUAUACUUGAUUAAUGGUAAGGAUAUUUUAAUAUAUUUUUAUAAAUUUUCAAUAAAUUAACACUACAAAAUUUGAAAGUAUUCAUUACUUUUUUUAUAUUUUAUUUUAUUAUGCCACAUAAAUUAAGAUGGGAUGAGAUGAUAAUUAGAAGAUAUCCAAAAUACAUAUAUUUUUUUAGUUAAAGUAUACAAAUAAAAAUAAAUGCGAAUAUAGAAUCAAACAGAAGUCAAAGAAAUCAAAGCUGACCCAAAGCAAAUAAAGUAAAGGGUUGGAUUAGGGUCCAAUAAUUUUAAAAAUACAAGAAAAAUAUAAAUUAGGAAAGUAAACAAAUAUUAUUUGUUUUUGUCUGAACUCCAGAAGGUUCCUUUGAAAUUCUAUCUUUCCGCAAACAUUUUCUUUCUAUUAUGAUACUACAUAUUAUUUUAGCGAAAAAUUGAUGAAUAAGCUGAAAUUAUGAAGCUCAAAAUUGAACUUUUAUAGACCAAAUAUUGAAAAGUAUGUUCCUACUAUAUUCAUUGAAUAACGGUGUAUCAAGCUUCGCUUGUAAUCCAUCUUCUUUCCCUGUUUCCUUUAUUUUUGUUUACGCUUUAACCCAUUUGAAGAUUUGAUUUUCUUAACCCUUUUUUGCUUUACAUUUUGUAUGUUUUGAUCUCUUAAAACCACUGUUGCAUUAUAUGUUUUUAGUUUUGAUUUUUUGUUCCUCCUUUUGAUUUGUAUGUUCGAAGAUUUCAUUUUUUUAAAUUCAUUCUGAUUUAAUUUCUUGUUUCAGGUGCGAUUUGCUUGAUAUUUACAUAUAAUAUGUGUCAGGUAUGCUUAAUGUUGUCAAUUUUGAAUAUCCUGAUGUUUGCAUGUCAGCUCAGAUACUUGAAUUUAGAAGAUACCAGAGGCCUCUAUCUUUUCAUCCCUUGGAUGGACCACAGAAAUUUGAACUUUGAUUAGAUUCAUCUGAAACAAUAAUUUUAAAUUUUUACAACUAUUUUCGUGCGUCUUCUCUUGCAUUCAGAUAAAUUGAGUAUAUAAAUUUUUACUUGAUAUAUUAAUUAAAUGAAAGUACAAUAAAGAAAAGACAAAUCAAACAUAUAUCUUUGUAACAAGAAAGUACUUGUUUUGUAAUUAUAUGAAAAUACAACAAAGGAUAGCAUGUGUUUCCUACCCUUUUAAUAUUGAUGAAUGCACAAAAAAAUUCAAACCUAGAAGCACACCUAAUAUCUGCAACGACAACAAUCUAACUACCCGGAGAACUUACCCCUACCCUACAAUUAGUAUUCUUAUCGAGUAAGAGAUUAUUUAAUAGAUUCUCAACUUAAGAAAUAAUAAUAAUAAUAAUUAAAAAAAAUUAAAGAAUAAAUUAACAAACUUACCACAAAAUUUGUACUAACCUAAAAUAGUUGUCAUCACAAUAUUUUGCGGAGAAAUUUUGACUUUUUGAGAGUCGUCACUUAAUUUCUGAAAAGGAAUUAAGAAACCUUUAGAGAGUUACUUCAAACAAUUCAAAAUAGGAAAACGUUUGAGUUUUGAAGAUUCUGGGUAAGCGGUUCCUAUUAACAUUUUAGGAAGGUGUUAUGCACCUAAAACGUCCGCUAACUUGCGGUUAUUCGAUUUGUUUGAAAAUCAUCUCUUUUGACAAACUUGGAAAAUCGACUUGUGGGAAAAGUAAUUGAUUAAGGAAAUUUUUUUUACAAAAUCAGUUUUUCAGCGACUUAGUUAGGGAGUUAACUAGAUUCGAACACUAAGCAAAUAAAAUAACGAAAGAAAAAUAGAGGAAGAAAUAAAUGAUUUGGGCCUUCAUGCCCAAAUCCGUCACCCUGUCUUAGUCUAGAUAUUGGGCCUUCGGCCAGUCUUUCACCUGUCCUAGUCUGUAUUUCGAGCCUUUGGCUCUAGUAUUGCUCCACCUGUAUUAAAUUUACAACUUUGGCUUCGGGGCCCAAAUGAAUGAAUGAAUAAAUAAAUAAGUAAAUAAGUAAAUAAAUAAAAGGCGAUAAUAAAUAUAUAAAAUGAAAUAAUAAAUGAGACUUUUGUCUCUUAACCGCUUCAAAGAUGGAACUUUAACUCAUUCUUCUUCUUUUGACUCUUUACACCCAUAUGCCGCGGAAAACGCUUUAGACUUCUUUUGGGCUUUGACUCGAAAGCUGGGCUCCAUUGGCCCAUGAUGAAUGCACGAAGGCAAAGUAGUCCGGGUAGGACUCGAAUGAUUUCCAUGCAAAAAUAAAAGUAAGACACAUUAACACAUAUAAAAGAAAAAAAAUAGGAGGAAAAAUGAAGGAAGUCGGCAUAUGAUAAAUCAAAACAAAACAGAAAAUAUAAAUAAAAUAAAUAAGAGAUGGUCAUUACAAUGUCGACCAAAGAAUAUGAAGAAAGUUAAUCCAUAGUUAACUAUAGACAACGGUAUAACAUAGUUCUUAAAUGUUCAAAAGCCGAUCACAAAAAACAAUAGGACAUGUUCAUAUCAAUUUAAUAGUGAAAGGUGAAAUUAAAACAAUGGACUUUAUAUUUGAAAUAAUCCAACGUUCCUAAAAAAUGGCAAGAAGAUUUAAAAUCACAUACGCCGAGCAUGUUACACUUUGGAAUAGUCAUUUUAAUCAAGUAGACAUAAGACAAAACCGACUUCGAGAAUUCCUAUUGAAGGAAAAAGACCAAAGUAUCUAGGCGGAAGUUAAUUGAUUCAACCAAAGAUUCAUUCUUGGAAGUAAAGCUAUACAUUGGGCAAGUUAAUUUUAAUAUUUCAGAGAGAAGCGAAUAAGCUUUAUCCUUAUACAUAUUCAAACAUCAAACGAGAAUCUUUGAGAAAUAGAAGAAGGAAGAAUUGAUGAAGAACGUCUUAACCAAAGAAAUAACCGAUCAGGCACUUAUGAGAAUGAUGUACAAAUAAGUCUUUUACAGAUUCAAACCUAAAAUACACAUGGCUACGUCCAAACGUUAUUGCUCAACUAACAAUUUUCCAGGAAGGUAGCAGAAAAACAAGUUCAAAGAAUUUAUGACACCACUUCAAAGAAUCAUAAGCAUCAAAGAAAACUUUGCUUUAUAAGCAACAAAUAUGCUAGAAAACCUUGAUUAAAAGAGGUGAGAUUCCAACAGUUGUUCGUGAAACUUGUACCGAAAAACUAGCGACAAUCAGAACCAAAUGAACAUGGACAUUAAACGAGCCAACUAAACAAGGAAGGAAUCGAGUCCAAAAUAAAACAGAACCUAUUUAUCCAGAUUGCCAGGGAGACAACGGAUCAUUAUACGAAAUGCUCCAAUAAAUAAAUGUGAUGAAGUAAUUUCCACAAUUCAACUUUAACCGCGCAAAUACUACUAUCUUUAGGCUACUGUUAGGCUCAAUACGAGAGACUAUGCUGGGUCAGGAAGUCUGUUUUUAUAUUAAAAGCACAACAGGCAUACAGACACAGAUAAAGAUGUCAAGGACACGUUUCAACAAAAUGGAUUAACACCAGAAAGGACAUUGGUACUGAAUAGGGGCAUCAAAAACCUUCAAAGCUCUAUCUUACUUAUAAACAAGUCCUAUAUCUCAGAAUAUAUUCACUAUCAUAAUGAAAAUAAAUAAUAGUCUUCAGUAACAACACGCACGAUAGAUCCAAGCAAAAAGAGAUACUAGAACCAAAUCACUACAGCAAAAGGGAAACAUUGAUUCAAACAAGCAUCAUAACAAUUCAUUUCACAUGCAAAUCCUAUGGCUUUCAAAGCCUCUACAACACACAAUCCCAGCCUCAUUCACGCUUACGACUAAACCACUAUCUCUAUGAACAAAAGAGAUAAAGAAGAAAAUGAUAAAUUAAAAAGUGAAAGAUUAGAUUUACCUCUUUAAGGGCAGCAAAAUGAGACUCGAGCUUCGUUCAGAAUCACAACCACAAGAAAAACAUCAUAAUCGUCACCUCGAGACUCCAAUUAGUUGACGAAUCCACGAAUGGAAUUUUACUAAAGGGAACUGACUUGUGAUCCCUGAGUUUUCUUUUAUCCCAUUUCUUUUGCUUUCAAAGAGAAGAGAAUCUCCCUCGACCCUUUUCUCGACCCAAAGAAAAAAAUCCUCAGCCGAGCUUUAUCAACCAAUCUCCCAACACCCAAAAUUUCCAAAAAAAAAUUCCUUUUUCUUUCUCCUAAAACUUCGAAUCCAAAAGAGAAAGACCAAAAAAAUCCCCUCCUUCAACAAUGACCCAAAUGGGUUCUUAUAUAGAAGACCUAAUUAGGGGUAUUUUGGGACUUGAAAAAUAGAAUAUUUUUUGAAUUUUUGGGUUUUGAAUAAGAUUUUCCGUUCAAGAUGGGUACUAAUUUGGAAAUUUUCUCUAGCAAUUCAAAAUAAUUAGCCAAUAAGGGAUGAGGAAUCAAAAUUCCCUCAUACCAAUCAAAAAUCGUUAAAAAUAUAUGAAUCUGUAUCGAUUAUUCUGAGAUUCGAGGAUUUGAGCCAUUGGGGGUGACACCUAGCUUGUUUCCAGAAGGUUCGAGACUGAUUUUGUAUCAAAUAUCAUGCUAAUCACGUAAGAAGGUACGAAUUUGAGUGAAGAGGAAGGCGUUUGGACGAGAACCAGCUGGUUCGAGUUUUCUUGGUCGAUUUUGGAUGAAAUCGGGUUGGGUAAUGGUUGUCUGCAUAUGUUGCUAUUAUCGAUGGUUUAUAGUCGGGUUGCGGUCGGGGGGCGUCAAGAGGAUGGGUUCACCAGAUUUUUGGUUGGGGGUUUAUUGAAUUUGGGUAGUUGACGGGUUUGAAUGUAUUGAGAUGGCUGGUGUUGUUUUGAGGAGGAAGAGAGAUUGAUGAAGGGUAUUGGGCUGGGUAUUGAUUAGUUUUGGGCCUGGGGUCGCUGAGUUAUUUUGUUUGCUUGGGCUGGGGCGGUUUAAGUGUGUUUUGGGAAUUAAAAUUGGGAUAUUGAAUUACAACUUAGGCCAUUUCAUUUAAAUUCUAGCCAAAUUGAAUAACGAUUGGCUAAUUGUAUCACAAUUGGGGCCAAUUUGACUUCAAUUGAAGUUAAAUUUAAUUAAUGGACCAAAUAGAAUCGCAAUCCGAUACGAAUUAAGUGACAAAUUAAUCCCGAGUUUAUCGAUUUGAUAAAAAUCAAAUAAAUAUUCCUCCAAAUACAAUAAUUUGAGGACAAAUCACAUUUAAAAUCAAGACUUUAUUUGGUUGGAUUAAUUUUCAAGUUUAAUCAAUAAAGUCUAAUUUUGAUAAAAAAAAUGUUCAUUUAAAUAACAAAAUUUAUACAAUCUUGUAUAUGUAAAGACGAAAACGUUUAAUCGUUAAUUAAAUGAUAAAAUUAACUCAAAUAAAUAUUUUAAAUUUCAUUUAUUUGAAUAAAAUAAUUGUUGUGAUUUUAUUUUAAAAUUGAAGAAACUCAAAAUUAAAUUGGGUUGUGGAGGGCAAAAAUUAGGUGUCAACAACUGCCCCUCCCUUUGGGUAGAAUGAAUGCAAGUAAUUCUGGGCAAAGGGAGGUUGGCGUUCCUAACUUUUAUCCGACCACAAAUUCAAAUCUGAAAGAGGUUGGUUUUUGCAUGAGUUUCAUGGAGUUAUGGCCGGACCUCGGUAUCAGGGUUCCUAUAUAUCUCAGGUUACAUAAGAAUUCAUGCCACUUGUUGUUCAUAAAGCUUGAUUUUAAGCACGAUUUUCAAGAGAAUUCUCCAGCUAUCUUGGUUUUGGAGUUUUUUGGUUAAACUGAGAAGCUGGGGAAUAAAGGGAUUUGCGGGAGGUUGGAAUGCAGUCGAGUUUUCUACAUAGAGUUCGGCCUACAUAUCCCUAAGAUUUUUGAGAAUCAGACUGCUUGUAGUUCGACUCGAUCAAUAUAAAAGAUAGUCUUCUAUUUCAAAUAAUCUUUGGCUCGGGAUGAGUGACAAGUUAAUGAGUUGCGGAAAAGAAGCUUGUAACCUAUUAACCAUGAAUGUGGGAUCCUUCACAUCCAUAGUCAAGAACUUACCUGUACAUAAUUUGCAAAACUUUAGGUAUCCUAUCACUCGAAUUUGAAAGAAAGGGAAGACUACCCUCGAUGUAAGUUUAGAAGUAUCUCGAAGACAAAGUUGAAACAAGAAUAUCCCGUAAUAACCCCAUGCCUUCUAAUAGGGGUGUGGUUAUAUGGUGGUGGUGAUCAUCCUUUAGCUUGCGUCCAGAGAGUUUGACAUCCCUCUCUAGACUAUGUCCCAUUUUGCUGCUAAAAAAGAGUUCCAUAUUGUUCUGCGUCCUAUCUGAAGUCGUCCACACCUGUGGUUUUGAUUUGAUAUUUUCAUCCUCUCUGAUGCUCUCGACAAUGCUUCAAGCAAGAAGUGUUAGUGCUAAACAUAAUUCGCGAAAGAGGUAUGUAGUCUUUUACCAUAUCUCCACAUGAGUUGUGGCCUGAAAAACGGAGUCAUCUCUUUAUGUACCUGUUUGAAAUAAAAUAACUGGCAACAAAAAACACAACAACCCUCUUGGUUGUUGUAUAAUUAUGACAUUUGUCGGUUAAAUAUGUCUUCAAAGUGGGGUGGCCUUUUUGGACACCGACGAUACUUUACGCAGAACGGUCCAUACAACCGUGUAAUCUUGUGCUGUUGUGGCAACCCUUUUGGUUACCUAUAUCACUCAUUGUAUGUGGAACGAUAACCUCUUUGGUUAUAGCCGUUGAUCGAUUUAUAAAUUUCCCUUAAAUUUCCAAUUUUUGGAUAAUCUUGCACAUUAUUUGAUGUUGGAUACGAAGCGACUUAUAGAUAUCCUUUGAAUUGCUAGCUUUUAGGUAAUCCUGCACAUUAUCCGACACUAGAUAAGAGAUGGCUUAAAGAUAUCCCUCCAAUCGCUAUCUUUUAGGUGUUCCUGCACAUCAUCCAACCUUGGAUACAAUAUGACCUAUAGAUAUCACUCAAAUUGCUAGUCCUUGGGUAAUCCUACACAUAAUCGAUCUUGGAUAUGAUGCGGCUUAUAGAGAACCCUUGGACAUAUUAAUUUGAUAAUCUCGCCAUAUUCUCCGGUAAGGAUUUAGUUGCGACUUAUGGAUAACCUUCAGACUAUCGAUUUUUGGGUGAUCUUGCACACUAUCCGGUUAUGAUGUUGUUGUGGCUUACGGAUGACCUACAGUCUAUCAAUUCAUAGGUGAUCUUGCACACUAUCCUAUUUCAAAUAAUAUGGCUUAUAGAUGACCCUCAAAUUAUCAAUUUCUAGAAAAUAUUAUAUAUCAUUCAUCCUUAGAUAGCGACUUAAAGGUGUCCCUUCAAAUCGUGUGCUCUUGAUGCAUUCAGAUGCUGAUUCAUAAAAUGAUGAGAUAUCUUUGAUGCCAGCAUUUGUGUCUAGCGUGUCAACAGUUAUUAAAUGAUGAUGAUAUCCUCAACGCCAGCAUUCAUGUCUCGCGUGUCAACAGAUAUUAAAUGCUGAUGAUAUCCUUGACGCCAGUGUUUUUGUCUCGCAUGUCAACAGAUAUGAGUUGAUGAUGAUAUCCUCGACGCUAGCAUUUAUGUCUCGCAUGUCAACAGAUAUUAAAUAUUGAUGAUAUCCUCGAUGUCAACGUUUAUGUCUUGCGUGUCAACAGUUAUAAAAUGGCCCUCUCGGCAAAUGAUAUGAAUGGCCCUCUUGGCAAUGAUAUGCAAUGUCCCUCUUGGCAAUGAUAUGAAAUAGCCCUCUUGGCAAUGAUAUGCGAUGACCCUCUUGGCAAUGAUAUGCAAUGGCCCUCUUGGCAAUUUGAAAACAUUUUCACCUAAGUUUGUUUGUCUACGUCUUUCCUUAUACAUGUACCCGUACUUGAAAUAGACGUUUAGUAGACACCAAGUCGCUUUUUCUAGCGACCAAUUUUUAGAAAAAUUCUAAAUACAAUGUUCACAAAGAAAAGAAGACACCUUUGUUUGUUCUUCAUGAUCUCAAGAAAUGAAAUGGACAAUUCAAAUGGUCCUCGAUAAAUGGGUAUUAAACCCAUUUUUGGGCUACUCAAAAAUACCGUUCUUAAGAAUUAUAUGCUCUGACAUGGCUCCCGACUUUCUUGGGGAUUUUUUAAAAGAAACUUUCAUUUUUGUGUAUUGGUCCCUGCAUCCACAGCAAAAUGAUUACUUUAAGUGAAACUACUCCGUGUUGACCUUCUUCGAUUCUCCAUUUGUUCUACGCCAUCUUUUGGGUACUCUGUCAUGUUGGGACUUCUACCCCUGACUCCUCGUCCUAAUUGAUGUCUAGACAAUCACUAAGUAAAAUAUUUAUAAAGAUUUUUUUUUUCAAAAGUAGCCUUAUUUUUAGCAAAUAGUUUCGAAAGUAUCUGUAAAAGCUUUAGAAAAUUUCUGCCAGUCAUGUCAUGUACUAGUUCAACGAACGUCUUCCUCGUGGUUUUGACUAUAUCUGAAGGAUGAUUUCUAAAACUCAUGAUCAUUGUUGGAGGGUUCUUCAAAUAGUUCUUGUAGACACCUAAUUUCGUCCCUCCCCGAUAUCGUUUUUACCCAUUUUUACUUUAUCCUACCGUGUACCCUCACCCAUCUAAUUAUUCCCCACAAAAAUACAAAAAUAACAAACUUCUAACAACUUUUGACACAUCACCUUGACACAUUACCACCCACCCCAUACCCUACCUACCUUACCCCACAUCACCUUUUAUUUUAUUUUUAAUCAACUCACAAAACAACAAAAAUAUAAAAGGGAUCACACUCACAUUUCAUGGGGACUACAUUAGAAAAGGGGGGUUCAUCUUCUCCACUAGAAUUCUCAUAACACACACAGAGGCAAUCCUCUCCCUUUACAGCUCACUCAAAAUUGAACACUAAUCGGCACAUACCAAAAAAGGGAAGCCGAUUGAGAGAGAGGGGGACGAAUAGAGAGAGAUAUAGUUAUUUUGAUUUCGGGUUACUGUUCCGACGACACAGUCGCCAUAUUUUGACAUUUUCUGUUAGCUUACUCCCUUCAUAGCUCACCGAAAAACAGAUACCAUUUUCUUCGUCUCUCUUAGAUACACAAUCAUCUUCUCAAUAACAAAUGGGACACAAUUCACACCUCACAGAGGAGGACCAUUCUUUUUUUCUUCUCUGCUCCACAGCCAACAUACAGAUCCCAUCGAAAAAGUGAAAUAGAGACUCCAUUUUUCCUUUUUCUUCAUCAUAAACACAUACGCACAGUGAGAGAGAGAGAGAUCGAGAGAGCUUCGAGAGAAGAGAGAAAAAUGAUGGGCUGACUGUUCCGGCGACUCUUUGCCGGAAAAACGCCGCCAUCAUCCCGUCGCGCCGUCUUUCUCUUGUUUGCAUCGUCAUCAGAUUGUCUGAGCUCACUGAAGCUCAAAAUUGUACUGGUUUUCAGUUUCUGUUGGAUUUUGGGAGUUUUGAUUUUAAUUUUUGUUUUUAUUUGUUCUUCGUGGAGCUUUGUUCGGAUUGGAUUUCAAGGGUUGGAGACCGAUUAUUUGAGGUCGAGUUGCUGAGGCUGAUUCGGGGUUCCUCGGAAUGCAGAAUCGUAUUUUUGAUCGACUGAUAUUUGGAAUAAAAUCAUCACUGAGGUCCAUUUCUACUCUUUUCCUCUUCUCUUUCAUUGUUGAUGGAAUAUGAUGCAUUGAAUGGAAUCUCGCAUGUUGCUUGAUCUUGAUUAGUGAUAAAUUGUUACUUUGAUAAUGACUUGUUGCUUAAUUUCAUUGAAAAAUGAUUGUGGGUUGUUGAAGAUGGCGAUUUGUGAAUUGUGGGAAAUUUGGUGUUAAAGGAGAAUUUGGGGAGGGAAUUAAAAAUUGGUUAAAAGUGAAUAUUGAUUUAUGUUGGUUUAGCAAAGAUUGCUUGUCUCGGAAUAAACAUCGACUUUGUUAAGAUUGAUAGUAUCAUGUUUUAGGCCGUAGUUCGUUAGGCGAGAAAUAGAGGUAGGCAAAUUUAAGAAUGUUGGAUUGGUGAAUGCUUGAAAUGUGUGUUGAAUGGUUUUGUUUUAUCACUUUAGGUCUUAUGUACUUAUUCACCGGGGAGUGCUCCGAAGUAUCUGUAUAUAUUUACUCACCGGGGAAUGCCCCGAAGAAUUUUGUACUCGAAGAAUGUUCGUGAUCAAGGCCCGAGGUAUCGGGUAAAGCAUAGUUUAGGACUAGUGUAGGUCAUUUCAAUAUUUUUAUUUCGGUUUGUAAUAAAUUGGACUGGACGCUAAAUUUUGGAUUGUUUUAUUUUGUUUACUUGCUUGAUUGUUUUGCAUGUUUUAUGUGAUUUAUACAUUCGCAGUGUCAAAUUAGCCGAUGUGCUCCACCGAGCGACCGUGGUCAAACCACAGGAUCGAGGGGUGCCUAACACCUUCCCCUCGGUCAACAAAAGUCCUUAGCCAGAAUCUCUGUUCGCAAACCAGUUUUAAGAGUCAAAAUAUUUUGAAAAGGGAUUUUCAAAGGUAACUUGGCACACCCAAUCUAUGCCAAGUGGCGACUCUGAGUUUAAAUGUAAAUAAUUCUUUUUUGAAAUAAAUUUUUAAUCUUUUGUCACUUUAAUAAUAAAACCCUUUCGAACCAUGAAAUUAUUCUUUGGAUGUUUAAAAAAGGGGUGUGACAGCUCUGGCGACUCUGCUGGGGAUCUUUUCAGAAUUCGAGCUUAUUUUGGAGUCGUAUCGGCUUUGUUUGGCAUUACGAGUGUAUAAGCAUUAUUUGUGAUUUUUGUUUGUGUUAUUGUUAUCACUUUUGUGCAUUUUCAUGCUCUUUAUGUACAGUAUUUAUCCUAUCUGUUACGGCUUUUAUAUUUGACAUCAUGUGUCUACCCCCGGGCCUUCUUUCUGCAACAAGUCCGUAGUACACGUGUUGUACACGACAUCUAGUUGAGUCACCCUUAUUUUAUGGGGGGAGUCGUCGGUGUUAUGGAGUAGGUGGAAAGCAAAGCAGCUACUAUCGACCAUACGCUCCCCCGAACAGCCUUGUUAGUGAACCACAACAUAGGUCAGCAUUUAGGUCAUGCUUAUGUGCAUCAUAUUGCGACCUAGUGGGACCCACUUGGUCCUUUGUAGGAGACUCACCUCUAAAGCAUCCGUACGUGCUAAAUGUUGCAUCUUUGAGGAUAACGUGGUCAUUUGAUGGACUGAUUUGGGAAAAACAUGUGUUAGAAGUAAAGUGUGUGGGUAAAAAAAAACAAGCAAAAAAAAAAAGAGUUUCGUAGUUUUUAGAGUUUUUUAUGGCUUUUAUUGUUCAAAAUUCCAAAAUUCAAAAGGGCUUUUUUACCUCCCGCACUCAUUUUCUCAAAAACAUCAAAAAGAUUUUCCUUUGUCUCGUUUAGCAUGCAUUCACAAUUCGGAAACUUCAAAAAGAUUUUUUUCAUUCAUAGGAUGUGUUUAUAAAAGAAAAAUGCAAAAAAAAAAAGAUGUUAGAAAUUUUUUACAUUUCGUAUAACGAAAAUACCAAAAAGAUUUUUCUUUNNNNNNNNNNNNNNNNNNNNNNNNNNNNNNNNNNNNNNNNNNNNNNNNNNNNNNNNNNNNNNNNNNNNNNNNNNNNNNNNNNNNNNNNNNNNNNNNNNNNNNNNNNNNNNNNNNNNNNNNNNNNNNNNNNNNNNNNNNNNNNNNNNNNNNNNNNNNNNNNNNNNNNNNNNNNNNNNNNNNNNNNNNNNNNNNNNNNNNNNNNNNNNNNNNNNNNNNNNNNNNNNNNNNNNNNNNNNNNNNNNNNNNNNNNNNNNNNNNNNNNNNNNNNNNNNNNNNNNNNNNNNNNNNNNNNNNNNNNNNNNNNNNNNNNNNNNNNNNNNNNNNNNNNNNNNNNNNNNNNNNNNNNNNNNNNNNNNNNNNNNNNNNNNNNNNNNNNNNNNNNNNNNNUAGAGUAGGUAUUUCAUAUACAUCUUUAAAAGAAAACUACAAAAAGAUUUUUCUUUAAUAGGUUCAAGUUUCAUUUUCAUAUGAAAUUCAAAAUUGAAAAUCCACAAAGAUUUUUUCUUUGAUAAUCAUAGGUUUCAUUUUGUAUAGGAAUUUUAAACGGGAAAAUGCAAAAAAGAGUCUAUUCUUUUGACAAUUUGUUAUUUUCUUCUCUUUUUAAAGUUUCAAGAAAAGAAAAAAGAAAGGAAAAAGCUUAUUUGGGCAUUUUGGCAAAACUUCACGAACUACGCACACCUGAUUCUCCCCUUUUGGGGGUGAGAUACGUAGGCGCCCUUCUUGGGUUCGGUAAUCUUUUCAAGAAAAGAAUAAGAGGUUUUGAAAAACUAUUGAACUCUAACCAUUCGCUAUCUCUUGUCCAGUUAGUUUAAGGUGGUUGGUUUAUGGCAUUUUGGCUAGUCCUCCAUAUUGCUCCAAGUCACAGAGGAAGUUAUGACCAACAAGGAUAUCGAGUUAGUUGUCACUAAUCAGAUAGGGAGUUCGGGGAAUGAGAAUAUAGGAGAUAAUGAAGAGAUUCGGAAAUUAGGGCGGCAAAUAACAGAAAUGCAUCGAGCUUGGGCUAAUGGGUCGGCGCCUCCUCCAGUUCCCACUGAUAAUCUGGAAUAUCUUUCUAGCUUGCCUCCCGUGUCACAUGCAUAAUUUACCAUUUUUGUUGAUAUGCCACAACAUGCAUCAGGAUCGACUCCGGGGCAAUAAUAUCCAACCACUUCUAAUGUUCAUUUCCUCACUCCCCAAUCCAAGACUACCACAUACUCGGCUCCAGCUGUUGUUCAUGCUUUUGUGGCGCCACCCCGACCUCCUACAUUUGAUGUUCAUCCACAAGUUGUGCCUCCCUACUCUACAAGAGAGCCUGUACUGAAUAUUUUUAGUGAUCAUUAUUAUGCUCUCGAGCCUACAUUUAAGUCGACUGGUCCUUACGAUUGCCCUCAACCGCCUGAAUUUCCUCCUAAUACUGAGAAGUCUGUUAUGACAGAAGAACAAGAGGAAAUAGCCAGAAAAUUGAGAAGUUUGGAACUGACUAUGAAAAACUUGGAAGGGCUUGGGGGGUAUAAAAGUGUCUCAUAUAAAGAUUUGUGCAUGUUUCCUGGUGUAUAUUUUUCUCUUGGUUUUAAAAUGCCGAAUUUUGAGAAGUAUGAUGGACAUGGCGAUCCUGUAGCACAUUUAAGACGCUAUUACAACCGGCUAAGGGGUGUUGGAGGGAAAGAAGAAUUACUCAUGGCAUAUUUUGGUGAGAGUCUUUCAGGUCUAGCUUCAGAAUGAUUUGUUGACCAAGAUAUUGACAAGUGGAUUAGUUGGGAUGAUCUAGCUAACGAAUUUGUGCAACAAUUUCAAUACAAUGUGGAGUUGAUCCCUGACGAAAAAUCCCUAACUAGUAUAACAAAAAAGAAUACUGAGAGUUUCAGGGAGUAUGCAUGGUGCGAACAAGCUGCGAGGGUAAAACCGCCAAUGAAAGAAAGCAAAAUAGUGGAGGUGUUUAUUCAAGCGCAAGACGAAACAUAUUAUCAACAAUUGUUACCUGCAUUAGGCAAGCCAUUCAUUGAGGUCCUUAAAAUGGGGGAGAUGAUAGAAGAGGGAAUUGAGACUGGUCGCAUUGUGAAUUUUGCAACAUUUAAAACGACUACUCAAGUAAUUCAAAAGGGUUCAGGAAGUGUUGGGGAGAAAAAGAAUGAGGAAGAUGCAUCUGCAAUUAUAGUUGGACAACAAGAAAGGUCAAGAAGACCACGUCGUCGUCGAUCUCAGGCUCAAGCUCAAGUUUAUGCGCAAGCUCCACAUAAUCACUCCCAAAAUCCAUUAUGCUCUUUUCCUCCACAUCCAUAUUCAGUGUAUAAUGCACAACCACAUGUUCAACCCUCAUCUUACCCACAAUGGCAUACCCCGACGCCCCAGAGUCAUCCUCUAACUCCACAAACAUACCAAAACCCUUCUAAGCAGAUUUUCUAUCCAAGCCAAACAAUGAAAUGAGGCAGAAGUCGAUAGAUAGCUUCACACCAAUUGAAGAGUCAUAUGCCAGUUUAUUUCAGAGAUUGGUACAAGAAGAAAUGAUCACUCCUCUCCUUGGGCACACCCUUAAUCAACGUUCAAGAAAUUUUGAUCCUAACACACGAUGUGCGUAUCAUUCUGAGUCUCAGGGUCAUAGUAUUGAAGAUUGUAGAGAUUUGAAAAGAGAAAUUGAAAAGAUGAUUCAUGAUGGAUCAAUCAUGGUGCAGAACAUUGAUAGUGAGGGAANNNNNNNNNNNNNNNNNNNNNNNNNNNNNNNNNNNNNNNNNNNNNNNNNNNNNNNNNNNNNNNNNNNNNNNNNNNNNNNNNNNNNNNNNNNNNNNNNNNNNNNNNNNNNNNNNNNNNNNNNNNNNNNNNNNNNNNNNNNNNNNNNNNNNNNNNNNNNNNNNNNNNNNNNNNNNNNNNNNNNNNNNNNNNNNNNNNNNNNNNNNNNNNNNNNNNNNNNNNNNNNNNNNNNNNNNNNNNNNNNNNNNNNNNNNNNNNNNNNNNNNNNNNNNNNNNNNNNNNNNNNNNNNNNNNNNNNNNNNNNNNNNNNNNNNNNNNNNNNNNNNNNNNNNNNNNNNNNNNNNNNNNNNNNNNNNNNNNNNNNNNNNNNNNNNNNNNNNNNNNNNNNNNNNNNNNNNNNNNCUUUGUCGUUUAUGUUCAAACCCUUUUAUCUUUUAUUUCAACUAAAUGAAGUGUCCUUUUCAGUUUGUGUUUCAAAUAUGUGUUGUUUGUUUUCUUUAUACAGUCACUUUAUGUUGAUUCUAGAGAUAUGAUAUGCCUGCGGAAUUUUCAGUCAGAUCUUAAAAUUCAGCUUAAUCAUGAAGCAUUGAAUCAAAGAGUUAAAGUUAGAAAAAGAAAGCAUAUGAGAAAAUAGAUAGAGUGCUGAGACAUUUGGUGACAAGUUAAGGCAAUUAUUUUGAGACUCACAAGAACAACUUAGUCAUCGAUAGAAAGGCAAGUCCCAAUUAGGUCAAAUAGUGGAUGUGUGAUCGCUAUAUCAAGAGAAACAAGAAGAUAAGCAGCUCCACGAAAGCAUGAGUCAUUUGAUGUGAGGAAUGUACAACAAAGGUGGAGUUUACAGAAGAAGUUGUGACGCACAGACUCAAUCUGCUUAAAAAGAUGUCGCAAAUGAACUUCAUUUCUCACUUCCAAUUGCAUGUUAUGUACUUGCAUUCUCAAGGAUUGAUAUGAUGAAGGCAUUUCAUUCUGCUAUCCAAACAUUGUGUCAUCCUUUGUUUACCAUUUGAACCUUAGUGUUAUUUUCUUUCAUACCCCUCAUUUGGAAUCAAGAUAGAGUAAGCAAAGUUCAAAGAAUAGUGUCGAGCAAAAAGAUAAAGUCAAGAGUUACAAAAAAGAGCCAAAAAUAUUUCCAAAAAAAGAGUGUCAAGAAAAAUAGAGUUAGAAAAAAAGAAUCACAAAGUGAAAAGAGCGAAUAAAAAAAACUAAAGAAAAAAAUAGAAUCAAGUGAAAGAACAAGCUGCCAGAACUACGCAUGACCUGAUUCUCCUCUCUCGGGGGUGAGAUACGUAGGCUGCCCUACUCAGGGCUCGAUCCAACCAAAUAAAUAAUUUAGAGUCACCUAGUCAGGGCUCGGUCCAACCAAAUAAAUAAUCCUCAUUGUUUGAGUCAAUUCCAAAAGUUGUAAGUCCUACCCCACUUCAAGUGUCGUUUGGGCCCCAUGUCAUCCUUUCUUUCUAACCUUAUCCAAAAACCAAGUUACAACCAAAGAAAGACCUUCAGAUCAAUCUUUGAGGAUGUUAAGGUGGAUCAUGCAAGGGAUAUGAUGAUGCAUUUGGGAACUAUUUGUCUUCCUCAGCAUAGGGAAUCAAGAGAGAAAUAAAAAUGAGAGAGUCUUAUUGGUGAAAACCCUCACGGGCACCAUAAGGCGAUAGUGAACCGAGAGAAAAUGAAAGAAGCUUAUUGGCAAAAACCCUUCAAGGCUCCACUAGCCGAAUGGGGUCUUAAAUGCAAGUGACCUAAGAAAGCAACUCAGUUUCAAGGACAUUAACUCAACAACAAUGGGUAGAAAGUUUGGAUGAAAAGAUCAAGCUGCUUAAUCCAAAAUGCAUGGCAUAAUCAUUAGUGUUGACUGUCAUUUUUAGAUGAAUUUUUUGUUUCUUUGUUUUAAAAGGGGACAUUCAUUGUCUUUUAUUUCUUCUCUUUAUUUUAAUUUUAUCUUUCUUGAGUCAGUUUUUAAAACAAAAAUUGUCAUUCAUUUUUUUUUUGGUUGUCUUUAAGUCAAGUCCGUGUCAAAACAAGUGAGAAAAGAUUUCAAAACUGGCUACCAGCUUCUUUAAUUGCACAAAGCAAGACAAAAGCUAGCACAUGAAAGAGACAUGAUUGUGAGCCCAAAAAGGGCAUGCAGAAAGUUUUGUCAACAUAAAAGUCAGGGAACUCAUGGAAAUACCAAGGUUCAAAGGGUUUAUUUGAGAAACACGACAAAGCAGAAAUACUAUGUUUGUUUCAGAACCACUCUUAAUAAGCUGAGUUUGAGUCAAUGAUACAGCAAGUCAAUGACAUAUGCUAAUGGUUGGAAGCAAAGUUAAACGUGACGGGGGCAGGAGUAAUUGCCUCAAAAGCCAAAGCCACAAACUAGCCACCAUGUUUUUAAACUCACAAGUUUUCUUUGUAUGUAAUAGNNNNNNNNNNNNNNNNNNNNNNNNNNNNNNNNNNNNNNNNNNNNNNNNNNNNNNNNNNNNNNNNNNNNNNNNNNNNNNNNNNNNNNNNUGCUGCAUAGGUUUGGUAAUCAAAACCAUGGUAAAACUCAUAAUUCAAGAUCUCUAGGAGACGCACUUCCUUGUUUUGGUAAUUCAAGCAGCUUUGGUAAGGAGACGCACUUCAUUGUUUUGAUAAUUCAAACAACAUUGAUAGGGAAACAUACUUCCUUGAUUGGGUAAUUCGAAUUUUGCUUUUUAGGUAAUGCACUUCCUAACUUAAGUCUUGAUUCCUAGAAGACGUACCUUUUAGUCGAGUCAUCCCCUUUGAUUCCUAUAAGACGUACCUUUUAGUUGAGUCAUCCCCUUUGAUUCCUAUAGAACGUACCUUUUAGUCGAGUCAUACCCUUUGAUUCCUAUAAUACUUACCUUUUAGUCGAGUCAUCCCCUUUGAUUCCUAUAAGAUGUACCUUUUAGUUAAGUCAUCCCCUUUGAUUCUUAUAAGACGUACCUUUUAGUAGAGUCAUUCCUAUUGAUUCCUAUAAGACGUACCUUUUAGUCGAGUCAUCCCCUUUGAUUCCUAUAAGACGUACCUUUUAGUCGAGUCAUCCCCUUUGAUUCCUAUAAGAUGUACCUUUUAGUUGAGUCAUUCCCNNNNNNNNNNNNNNNNNNNNNNNNNNNNNNNNNNNNNNNNNNNNNNNNNNNNNNNNNNNNNNNNNNNNNNNNNNNNNNNNNNNNNNNNNNNNNNNNNNNNNNNNNNNNNNNNNNNNNNNNNNNNNNNNNNNNNNNNNNNNNNNNNNNNNNNNNNNNNNNNNNNNNNNNNNNNNNNNNNNNNNNNNNNNNNNNNNNNNNNNNNNNNNNNNNNNNNNNNNNNNNNNNNNNNNNNNNNNNNNNNNNNNNNNNNNNNNNNNNNNNNNNNNNNNNNNNNNNNNNNNNNNNNNNNNNNNNNNNNNNNNNNNNNNNNNNNNNNNNNNNNNNNNNNNNNNNNNNNNNNNNNNNNNNNNNNNNNNNNNNNNNNNNNNNNNNNNNNNNNNNNNNNNNNNNNNNNNNNNNNNNNNNNNNNNNNNNNNNNNNNNNNNNNNNNNNNNNNNNNNNNNNNNNNNNNNNNNNNNNNNNNNNNNNNNNNNNNNNNNNNNNNNNNNNNNNNNNNNNNNNNNNNNNNNNNNNNNNNNNNNNNNNNNNNNNNNNNNNNNNNNNNNNNNNNNNNNNNNNNNNNNNNNNNNNNNNNNNNNNNNNNNNNNNNNNNNAGCUGUAUAGAUAGGAUUUUUGUAAUUUUAAUUAUGUUUUAACUUGUAAUUUUCAUUUUAAUGUAAUGACAGAGUCGUGGACUGAAACCUCAAUGGAACCUCACUCGACUCUCCAACCUGGUAUAGUCCUCUUUCCAAUCCUUUGAAAUACCCGUGACUUGAUUCUCUCAUAACUAUGGUAGGUAGGAUGUUUUAAGUCAAAACCCAGUUGUCCUUCUUCUUUCUGUUUCUUUCUUUGAAUAAUGGUCGGGUCAAAAUUUGGUCUUGUGGUCUACUUCUUUGUCUGAAAACACUUCAUGUUUACAUUCAAAGGGGGCAUGAUGUAGACACCUAAUUUUGUCCCUCCCCGAUAUCGUUUUUACCCAUUUUUACUUUAUCCUACCAUGUACCCUCACCCAUCUAAUUAUUCCCCACAAAAAUACAAAAAUAACAAACUUCUAACAACUUUUGACACAUCACCUUGACACAUCACCACCCCACCCCAUACCCUACCUACCUUACCCCACAUCACCUUUUAUUUUAUUUUUAACCAACUCACAAAACAACAAAAAUAUAAAAGGGAUCACACUCACAUUUCACGGGGACUAUAUCAGAAAAGGGGGGUUCAUCUUCUCCACUAGAAUAAUCUUAACACACACACAGGCAAUCAUCUCCCUUUACAGCUCACUCAAAAUCGCACACUAAUCGGCACAUACCAAAAAAGGGAAGCCGAUUGAGAGAGAGGGGGACGAAUAGAGAGAGAUAUAGUUAUUUUGAUUUCGGGUUACUAUUCCGGCAAUACAGUCGCUGGAUUUUAACAUUUUCUGUUAGCUUACUCCCUUCACAACUCACCGGAAAACAGAUACCAUUUUUUUCGUCUCUCUUAGAUACACAAUCAUAUUCUCAAUAACAAAGGGGACACAAUUCACACCUCACGGAGGAGGACCAUUCUUUUUUUCUUCUCUACUCCACAGCCAACAUACAGAUCCAAUCGAAAAAGGGAAACAGAGACUCCAUUUUUCCUCUUUCUUCAUCAUAAACAUAUAUGCACAGUGAGAGGGAGAGAUCGAGAGAACUUCGAGAGAAGAGAGGAGAGCGAGAGAAGAGAGAAAAAUGAUGGGCUGACUGUUCCGGUGAGUCUUUGCCAGAAAAGCGUCGCCAUCAUCCCGUCGCGUCGUCUUUCUCUGGUUUGCAUCGUCAUCAAAUUGUCUGAGCUCACUGAAGCUCAAAAUUGUACUGGUUUUCAGUUUUUGUUGGAUUUUGGGAGCUUUGAUUUCAAUUUUUGUUUUCAUUUGUUCUUCGUAGAGCUUUGUUCGGAUUGGAUUUCAAGGGUUGGAGACCGAUUAUUUGAGGUCGAGUUGCUAAGGCUGAUUCGGGGUUCCUCGGCAUGCGGAAUCGUAUUUUUGAUUGACUGAUAUUUGGAAUAAAAUCAUCACUGAGGUCCAUUUCUACUCUUUUCCUCUUCUCUUUCAUUGUUGAUGGAAUAUGAUACAUUGAAUGGAAUCUCGUAUGUUGCUUGAUCUUGAUUAGCGAUAAAUUGUUACUUUGGUAAUGACUUGUUGCUUAAUUUCAUUGAAAAAUGAUUGUGGGUUGUUGAAGAUGACGAUUUGUGAAUUAUGGGAAAUUUGGUGUUAAAGGGGAAUUUGGGGAGGGAAUUAAAAAUCGGUUAAAAGUGAAUAUUGAUUUAUGUUGGUUUAGCAAAGAUUGCUUGUCUCCGAAUAAAUAUCGACUUUGUUAAGAUCGAUAGUAUCAUGUUUUAGGCCGUGGUUCGUUAGGCAAGAAAUAAAGGUAGGCAAAUUUAAGAAUGUUGGAUUGGUGAAUGCUUGAAAUGUGUGUUGAAUGUUUUUGUUUUAUCACUUUAGGUCUUAUGUACUUAUUCACCGGGGAAUGCCCCGAAGUAUCUGUAUAUAUUUACUCACCGGGGAAUGCCCCAAAGAAUUUUGUACGCAAAGGAUGUUCGUGAUCAAGGCCCGAGGUAUCGGGUAAAGCAUAGUUUAGGACUACUGUAGGUUAUUUCAGUAUUUUUUUCGGUUUGUAAUAAAUUGGACUGGACGCUAAAUUUUGGAUUGUUUUAUUUUGUUUGCUUGCUUGAUUGUUUUGUGUGUUUUAUGUGAUCUAUACAUUCGCUGUGUCAAAUUAGCCGAUGUGCUCCACAGAGCGACCGUGGUCAAACCACGGGAUCGAGGGGUGCCUAACACCUUCCCCUCGGUCAACAGAAUUCCUUAGCCGGAAUCUCUGUUCGCAAACCAGUUUUAAGAGUCAAAAUAUUUUGAAAAAGGAUUUCCAAAGGGGACUUGGCACACCCGAUCUAUGCCAAGUGGCGACUCUGAGUUUAAAUGUAAAUAAUUCUUUUUCGAAAUAAAUUUUCAAUCUUUUGUCACUUUAAUAAUAAAACCCUUUCGAACCAUGAAAUUAAUCUUUGGAUGUUUAAAAAAGGGGUGUGACAGUUCUGUCAUAACCAGAAAUUGAGUUCACCUAGACUUUGUCGCAGUUGCUGACUUUAAGAGUUUGUCUUUAACCUUUGGUGCUGGAGAAUUUGAAAUAUAUCCCAGUACUUGGUGGAAAUUUUGAGGCCUUCCUCAAAAUUUCUGCCUCAGUUUAAAGUAGUUUGAGAUGAUAUCAACUCAAGUGGAUCUGAAGUCUUUGCUGAUCUUCAUUCUCUUUGUUGGAUGUUGAUCUUCUCUUGUGAAUUUUUGAGAUUAAAAUUUUGCCCCAGUUUCCAUUUUCUAGGGUUAUAAGACCGAGUUGUUGGGGCGCCUACGUAUCCCAUUGAAGCAGGAAUCAGGUCAAACAUAGUUCAGGACUACGCUAAGGAUAUAUAGAAAAAUCUAAUGGGUUGACCGAAGCCGACAUCGGCCGCCUACGUAUCCCUUUUAUUGGGAAUUCAGGUCAUCAUCAUACAUAAAGAGAAAGGAUAAAAUUUCCUUAGGGGUUGACCGAAGCCGACAUAGGCCGCCUACGUAUUCCUUUCUUGGGAAUUCAGGUCAAACGUAGUUCGUACAUAAACUCAUAAUGGCUCUAAAAAUACUCUUAUCCAUCUUACUAGGAUAUAAAUAAGUAUUUCUAUGGAUGACAUGACAUUUGCAUUGCGUUUGUCUUGAUAGAAUAAAGGAUCAAAUAUCCAAUGGAGUUAUCGCCUUCCUAGUUAACCACCUCGGUUUCCUCUAGAUUAGGCUUGUUUGAUUCUCAAACUUGUUGACUCUUCUGUUGACUAUUCUAGGGCUACCAUUAUUUUGCUUCUUGACAUGACAUGACAAUGGCAGGUUUUAAGUUACUGUUAUACGACGGGCGAUGAGUCAUGAGUGGAGUGGAGGUCCAAUUCAACAAUGUUUCCUCCAAUUAAUUUUCCAUGAUCCCGAUUGUCUUGGAAAAUUCUUCCCUUACAUUUUCCUUAUUCCAUCCUCGAUACCAUUGCUUACAGGUUUGAAAAAUGAUUGGUAGAGUCCAAUUUUACUACUAGUCAUUUUUCUUUUCCUGUAACAAAGCUAUAGUAAAGAAGGAGAUCUCUUAUUCAUUUUGAUCUGGUGAAGUAGGGUCAUUUUGUGACAACACAGAGUAGUUUCUAUUACCUGCAAAGUAAAAACAACUCAAAGGCUGACGUGUUAGAUUCCGUUAUAAUAAGCAAAGUAAGAUGAUAAGGUAGGAAGUAAACACAUAGAGUUGUUUCUCAUCUCAUGCGAAUAGAUCCAUGAAGUAAUGAUGACUCAAGAAUUUCAAUGAACAAGAUUUUGCUCAUUGAUAUGGAUAGGUGGAAUUUGUUAGGAAGGUUCAACUCUUCUUCUUCCUUCAAAAAAGUGGAGGACAACAGAGUUUUUGGAGAUAGGGGCAGGGCCAAAAGGCUGCCUAUGUAUCUCACGGGGAGAAAUCAGGCCCUACGUAAUUCAAAACUAUAAAGACAUUUUCUAAUUCUAAUGUCAACUUUCCUAAAAUAGUAGUGAUCAUUUUGGAAGUUUUAAGAAUGACUACGGACUUUUCUGAGAAACUUGGGAGACUUGGAGUACUUUUGGUCGGAUUUUUGUAUAGUGGGGUAUAUUUCUGCCUAGAGAUGUUCUAUGGUAAAUAGGAUUGGAUCAGUUCACCUUUGUUUCGAAUCAUCAUAACACGUAUAAGCACAUAAACAGUUAUAUUAUACAAGCAUAUUGUAAUAAAUGUCCAUCCUAAUUAGGUGACCCGUUUGAGGCAAGGGUUUAGGCCUAACGAGUUUUGAAGAAAAUAUACGCCUUUUUAAAGCCAAUCCAUUAUCCCCAAAAACCUUCAUAGGUAUCCAUAAAUGACAUAAAUGUCUACAAAAGUUGCACAAAAGGGAUACAAUCUUUAGGGAAAGGGAAUAAUGUCCCACGCAGGGGAUACUAAUUACUAAAUGCUUCUUCUAUCGGCCUUCGCACUCUUAGCUUCGUCCAUUUCCUAUAUUGGUGACAUCUAUUGACGUUCAAACUAUGCCUUAGAUGCAACCUCCCAAAUCGAUCAAUUUCUUGCUUAACUUGCUUUAGUUCUUCUUACGAAAGUAAGCAAAUCAAUCUUUUUCCCGACCCCCAAUGGAUAAUGGAUUGAAUUAGACAGGCAAACAUUUUCUUCAACACAUAAAUAUGGUUCGUUUAUAAUUGACUUAGGGUCAAUAGACGUAGGGAAGGUUUUCUAAUGGGCCUAAUACCCCGCUCGAGUAUUGGGUCGUCCUAGGCUCAUGUCUAAAAUAGGGUUUUGGUUUUGUUCUAUCCUAGGUGUCUAGAGUGGGUUUGAACACAAGUUCUCAAGCGGACAACUUGAGUUUGAAAAUACGAAUAGCCAUUAGGCGACUCACGUGCUAAUAAGCCAUUCGUAUUUUCAACACAUUAUUGAAAUUGAACAAUAGGGGCCGGGACAUCCAUGAAACCACAAAAUAAUUUAAAUAAUGCAGGAAUAUGCCAUGAUAUGCGAUAGUUAAACUUUACAGAAUCAAAACAUAAAAACACAUAAACAGUUAAUCAAAAGACAAAAUCAAAGAAUUGGUUGGAACCUAGUUCAAAAUCCCCAGCAGAGUCGUCAUUUCUGUUUUGUGGAGAAAUUUUGAAUUUUUGAGAGUCGCCGCUUAAUUUCUAAAAAGGAAUUAAGAAACCUUUAGAGAGUUACUUCAAACAAUUCAAAAUAGGAAAAUCGUUUAAGUUUUGAAGAUUUUGAGUAAGCGAUUCCUAUUAACGUUUUAGGAAGGUGUUAGGCACCUAAAACGUCCGCUAACUUGCGGUUUUCCGAUCUGUUUGAAAAUCAUCUCUUUUAACUAACUUGGAAAAUCGACUUGUGGGAAAAGUAAUUGAUUAAGGAAAAGUUUUUUGCAAAAUCAGUUUUUUAGCGACUUAGUUAGGGAGUUAACUAGAUUCGAACACUAAGCAAAUAAAAUAAUGAAAGGGAAAUAGAGGAAGAAAUAAAUGAUUUGGGCCUUCAUGACCAAAUUCGUCUCCCUGUCUUAGUCUAGAUAUUGGGCUUUUGGCCCGUCUUCCACCUGUCCUAGUCUGUAUUUUGAGCCUUUGGCUCGAGUAUCGCUCCACCUAUAUUAAAUUUACAACUUUGGCUUCGAUGCCCAAAUGAAUGAAUAAAUAAAAGACGAUAAUAAAUAUAUAAAAUGAAAUAAUAAAUGAGACUUUUGACUCUUAACCGCUUCAAAGAUGGAACUUUAACCCAUUCUUCUUCUUUGACUCUUUACACCCAUAUGCCGUGAAAAAGGCUUUAGACUUCUUUUGGGCUUCGACUCGAAAGCUAGGCCCCAUUGGAAGGCAAAGUAGUCCGGGUAGGACUCGAAUGGUUUCCAUGCAAAAAUAAAAGUAAGACACAUUAACACAUAUAAAAGAAAAAAGAGGAAAAAUGAAGGAAGUCGGCAUAUGAUAAAUCAAAACAAAACAGAAAAUAUAAAUAAAAUAAGUAAGAGAUGGUCAUUACAAUGUCAACCAAAGAAUAUGAAGAAAGUUAAUCCAUAGUUAACUGUAGACAACGGUAUAACAUAGUUCUUAAUUGUUCAAAAGCCGAUCACAAAAAACAAUAGAACAUGUUCAUAUCAAUUUAACAGUGAAAGGUGAAAUUAAAACAAUGGACUUUAUAUUUGACAUAAUCCAACGCUCCUAAAAAAUGGCAAGAAGAUUUAAAAGCACAUAGGCCGAGCAUGUUACACUUUGGAAUAGUCAUUUUAAUCAAGUAGACAUAAGACGAAACCGACUUCGAGAAUUCCUAUCGAAGGAAAAAGACCAAAGUAUCUAGGCGAAAGUUAAUUGAUUCAACCAAAGAUUCAUUCUUGGAAGCAAAGCUAUACGUUGGGCAAGUCAAUUUCAAUAUUUCAGAUAGAAACAAAUAAGUUUUAUCCUUAUACAUAUUCAAACAUCAAACGAGAAUCUUUGAGAAAUAGAAAAAGGAAGAAUUGAUGGCGAACGUCUUAACCAAAGAAAUGACCGAUCAUGCACUUAUGAGAAUGAUUUACAAAUAAGACUUUUACUGAUCCAAACCUAAAAUACACAUGGCUACCUCCAAACGUUAUUGCUCAACUAACAAUUUCCCAGGAAGGUUAGCAGAAAAACAAGUUUAAAGAAUUUAUGACACCACUUCAAAGAAUCAUAAGAAUCAAAGAAAACUUUGCUUUAUAAGCAACAAAUAUUCUAGAAAACCUUGCUUAAAAGAGGUGAGAUCCAACAGUUGUUCGUGAAACUUGUGCAGAAAAACUAGCGACAAUUAGAACCAAAUAAACAUGGACAUUAAACGAUCCGACUAAACAAGGAAGGAAUAUAGUCUAAAACAAAACAGAACCUAUUUAGCCAGACUGCCGAGGAGACAAUGGAUCAUUAUACGGAAUGCUCCAAUAAAUGAAUUUGAUGAAGUAAUUUCCACAAUUCAACUUUAAUCGCGCAAAUACUACUAUCUUUAGGCUACAGUUAGGCUCAAUACGAGAGACUAUGCUAGGUCAGGAAGUCUGUUUUAAUAUUAAAGUACAACGGGCAUACAGACACACCAGAAAGGACAUUGGCACUGAAUAGGGGCAUCAAAAGCCUUCAAAGCUCUAUCUUACAUAUAAACAAGUCCUUUAUCUCAGAAUAUAUUCACUAUAAUAAUGAAAAUAGAUAAAAGUCUUCAGUAACAACACGCACGACAGAUUCAAGCACAAAGAGCUACUAGAACGAAAUCACUACAGCAAAAGGGGAACAUUGAUGCAAACAAGCAGCAUAACAAUUCGUAUUACAUACAAAUCCUAUGGCUUUCAAAGCCUCUACAGCACACAAUCCCAGCCUCAUUCACGCUUACGACUAAACCACUAUCGCUAUGAACAAAAGAGAUGAAGAAGAAAAUGAUAAAUUAAAAAGUGAAAGAUUAGAUUUACCUCUUUAAGGGCAGCAAAAUGAGACUUGAGCUUCGUUCAGAAUCACAACCACAAGAAAAAUGCUGUGAUCGUCACCUCGAGACUCCAAUUAGUUGACGAAUCCACGAGUGGAAUUUACUAAAGGGAACCGACUUGUGCUCCCUGAGUUUUCUUUUAUCCCAUUUCUUUUGCUUUCAAAGAGAAGAGCAUCUCCCUCGACCCUUUUCUCGACCCAAAGAAAAAAAUCCUCAGCCAAGCUUUCUCAACCAAUCUCCCAGCACCCAGAAUUUCCAAAAAAAAAUUCCUUUUUCUUUCUCCUAAAACUUCGAAUCCAAAAGAGAAAGACCAGAAAAAUCCCCUCCUCCAACAAUGACCCAAAUGGGUUCUUAUAUAGAAGACCGAAUUAGGGGUAUUUUGGGAAUUGAAAAAUAAAAUUUUUUUUUUUGAAUUUUUGGGUUCCGGAUAAGAUUUUCUGUUCAAGAGCGGUACUAAUUUAGAAUUUUUCACUAGAAAUUCAAAAUAAUUAGCCAAUAAGGAAUGAGGAAUCGAAAUUCCCUCAUGAACCAAUCAAAAAUCGCCAAAAAUGUACGAAUCUGUAUCGAUUAUUCUGAGAUUUGUGGAGUUGAUCCGUUGGGGGUGACACCUAGCUUGUUUCCAGAAGGUUCGAGACUGAUUUUGGACGAGGAAAGCGUUUGGACGAGAACCAGCUGGUUCGAGUUUUCUUGGUCGAUUUUGGAUGAAAUUGGGUCGGGUAAUGGUUGUUUGUGCAUAUGUUGCUGUUAUCGAUGGGUUAUAGUCGAGUCACAGUCAGGUCAGCGUUAGGAGGCUGGGUUCAUUGGAUUUUUGGUUGGGGGUUUAUCGAAUUCGGGUAGUUGACGGGUUGGAAUGUAUUGAGAUGGCUGGUGUUGUUUUGAGGAGGAAGAGAGAUUGAUGAAGUUAUUGGGCCGGGUAUUGAUUUGUUUUGGGCCUGGGGUAGCUGAGUUGUUUUGUUUGCUUAGGCUGGGGCUGUUUAAGUGUGUUUUGGGAAUUAAAAUUGGGAUAUUGAAUUACAACUUAGACCAUUUCAUUUAAAUUCUAGUCAAAUUAAAUGUCGAUUGGCUAAUUGUAUCACAAUUGGGGCCAAUUUGAUUUCAAUUGAAGUCAAAUUUAAUUAAUAGACCAAAUUGAAUCGCAAUCCGAUACGAAUAAAGUGACAAAUUAAUCCCGAGUUUCUCGAUUUGAUAAAAAUCAAACAAAUAUUCCUCCAAAUACAAUAAUUUGAGAACAAAUCACAUUUAAAAUCAAGACUUUAUUUGUUUGGAUUAAUUUUCAAGUUUAAUCAAUAAAGUCUAAUUUUGAUUAAAAAAAAUGUUCAUUUAAAUAACAAAAUUUAUACAAUCUCGUAUAUGUAAAUAUGAAAAUGUAUAAUCGUUAAUUAAAUGAUAAAAUUAACUCAAAUAAAUAUUUUAAAUUGCAUUUAUUUGAAUAAAAUAAUUGUUGUGAUUUUAUUUUAAAAUUGAAGAAACUCGAAAUUAAAUUUGGUUGUGGAGGCAAAAAUUAGGUGUCAACACACAACUUUUUUAAAAAAAAAAUAAAAAUUGAAGAGGAUGGCCAAUAAUAAGGAAAAAGACAAAUGAAUAAUAAUUCAUUCAAGAUCAUAUGAAGAAUUUAAAACAACACAAAUAAUGAAAUAAAUUAAGAAAAAAUUAUCACAUACUACCAAAUAAUAUGAAUAUAAUAUAACUUAAAGAACUUGAUGGAGCCUAAUCGAUAUUGUUUAUGGAGAAAAAAAAGUGAGAUAUUUAUAAAGUUUUUUAAAUCUUUUUUAGUAAAAAUACUAAAUACUAACAAAUUUACUACUUAUUCUAUUGUUAUUUUUUCCUUUUUAACCCUAUGUUAAUUGGACUUCUUCUUAUAGAAAUAUUAAAAUAGUAGCGUAAGUUUCCUAUUCCUAAAAACUUUUUUGGCACAUUGAUGUUUGCAAAGUUUCUUCGAUAUUUUUUAAAAACAUUGAAACGUACUCUAAUUAUGGUAUACAAUGUAAAUAAGAAAAAUAUUUAUAUAAAAAAUAUAAUCAACAACAACAAGAACAAGUCCAGUGCAUUCCCACACAGUGGGCCAGUCUGGGGAAGGUAAAAUAUACGCAGUCCAUACCGCUACCUUCGAAGAAGUAGAGAGGCAGUUUUCGAUAGACCCUCGGCUCAAGAUAAAGAAUAGUAAAUAAAGUCGUGAUAAAACGUGAAGCAGGAUGGGUGGCUUAACAGGAGUAAAGAAUCAGAAAUGGUAAAAUAGAACUUAGAGCAAUACGGAAUAGGGGGACUAAGAGCCAUAAGGAAUAAGAAAUAAGACAUAUGAAAUCUGAAAUAGGGCACCCGCCUAGUAGUAACCUACACUCACAGACCAAAGCCAACCACCACACCCAAACUCUCCUGACUAGCGGCUCCUACCUAUUGAUACAGUCCUACGAUUACUACCCCGGCUAAACAGGGACUCUCCUAACUACUUGCUACAACCCAUGUACUCACCUUAGCCUUGUACCCUUAUCCGCGACAUCCACACCUUCCUAUCUAGGGUUAUGUCCUCAGUAAGCUGAAGUUGCUCCAUGUCAUGUCUAAUCACUUCUCUCUAGUAUUUCUUCAGCCUACUCUACUCCUCCUGAAGUCAUCCAAAGCUAGCCUCUCACACUUGUGAGCUAGGGCAUCCAUGCCCCUCCUCAUCACAUGCCCAAACCAUCUCAGCCUUCCUUAUCGCAUCUUGUCCUCCACCGAAGCCACCCCACCUUAUCCCGGAUAAUCUCAUUCCUAACUCUAUCCCCUCUCGUAAGCCCACACAUCCAGCGCAACAUUCCCAUUUCCACCAACUUUAAUUUUUGAAUAUGGGAGUUCUUGACAGGCCAACACUCCGCUCCAUACAACAUAGCUGGACGGACUGCCACUCUAUAGAAUUUGCCUUUAAGUUUAAGGGACACCUUCCUAUCACACAACACUCCUUAUGCGAGCCUCCACUUCAUCCAACCUACUCUAAUAUGAUUAGAGACAUCCGCAUCAAUCUCUCAAUUUUCCUAAAUCGUAGACCCAAAAUACUUAAAACUAUCCCUCUUACAAAUAUAUACAUGCGAAAGAGAGAAACUUUGGAACUUUUAUCAUAUUAAUUAGGACUUAUUAAUUUUUAAAUUAUAUUUUUCUUAUCAUGUAUUUUAGGAAUUAAUUCUUAUCAUAUGUUUUAGGAUUUAUUAAUUUUUAAAUUAUAUUUUUCUUUUACCAUAUAUUUUAGAACUCCUUAAUUAUUGAAUUCUCUUAAUACUUCUUACCAUAUAUUUUUAGGACUCUUUUUCCUAAUUUUUAAAUUGUAUUUAUCUCUUACCAUAUAUUUUAGGACUCCUCAAUUAUUGAGUUCUCCUAAUACUUCUUACCAUAUAUUUUUAGGACUUCUUAAAUUAUUAUCAAUUUUAUAAAAUAAUGAUAUAAUAAUUGAAGGAAAAAAGUGAAAAGACGAUUUUGUCUAAAGCGUGGUCUUUUAAUAAAGGGCAAAAAGUUCAAAUCACUUUUCUAAAGUCCUUCACACUUUUAAUAUAUUAUAGAUUAUAGAAAACACCUAAUUGAUAUCAUUAAUUUCAAAUGUAUAUUUUUUACAAACUCAAAAUAUCGAAUACUGUAAGAGAAUUCUGACAUUUUAGAGUCAUCUUUCUAAGAUUCUAACAAAUUUUAAAAUCUUGAAUUUGAAAUGCAUUAUCUUUUUUUCUAAAACAAGAUAAAAAAGAAAUUUCAUUAUCGUUAGCUUGAAAUUAAGAACAUAAGAUUAUCCCUUUCAAAUAUAAUUUAAAAUAUAUUUAAAUAUUAAAUAAAAAAUAAAACAUUAAUCUAAAUAAUAAUAAUAAUAAUAAUAAUUAGUGAAAGUUUUCCAAGAAAAAAAUAGUAGAAGAAGCAACAAUAUGUGAGGUAUAAUAAUAAUAAUAAUAAUAAUAAUAAUAAUAAUAAUAAUAAUAAUAAUAAUAAUAAUAAUAAUAAUAAUAAUAAUAAUAAUAAUAAUAAUAAUAAUAAUAAUAAUAAUAAGUUAAUACUAUUAUUUUAGAAUCAAUAUGAUUAAUUUUAAAUAUUCUUUUUUAUUUAAUUUAUUUUUAUUAUAGAAAACACCUAAUUGGUAUCAUUAAUUUCAAAUAUAUAUUUUUUGCAAACUCAAAUAUAUAAAUUGCAAUAUAAUUAUGAUAUUUUAUAGUCUUAUAUUUCUAAGAUUCUAAAAAAAUUUAAAAUCUUGAAUUUGAAAAACAUUAUCUUUUUUUCUAAAAAUAAAAUAAAAAAAUUCAUUAUCUUAAAAAUAGAAACCCAUAGUUGAAGAGGUCUAGUAGACUUUUCGUAUUCCAAAUUUAUCUCUUUUAAAAUAUAAAUGCUAUAAAAUAUAUAUAAAACAAAUUAAUUUACUUUUAAAAAAAUCAUAAAAGAGCAAAAAAAAAGGGAAAAACAUAUGGAAAUGUUAAAAUAAGUUAAUAUUAUUAUUUUAGAAUCAAUAUCAUUAAUUUUAAAUAUUUCUUUUAUUUUAUUUAUUUUUAUUAUAGAAAACUCCUAAUUGAUUUUAUUAAUUUGAAAUAUAUUUUUUUGCAAACCCAAAAUAUGUAAAUUAUAAGAUAAUCAUGACAUUUUAGAAUCUUAUCCUUUUAACAAAUUGUUAUCAGCAUUCAAAUUUGAAUUUGAACGUAAUUUUAGCAUGCAUGAAUAUCUAGCUUCUUAUAUAUACUUACCUUCACUGACACAUAUGUCAUAUAAGCUUUCUUCUUCUCUAUCUAUUGUCAAUUAUUUUCAAAUUCAGAUUUUAUUAUCUCGAGAGAAUAUUUCGUGAUAGUUUCGUCCACAAAAGUACUAAUUAAUCUUUCUUUACAUUCUUUAUACUAUUUUGGUGCAUACACCGAAGGUUUGUUUGUUGUUUAUUUUUUAAAAUUACUUUUAAUUUUGAUGUCUCUACAUAUAUAAAAAUUUAUAGAAAUGAUUAGUUCCUCUUAUUCUUCUUUGAUAUCAUUAUAUAAAUAUAUUCUAAUUCUUUUUUAUUUUUAUUCAUUUUUUUUAUUAGAGUAAUAGAUUUUAUUUGCUCACUUUUUUUUUUUUUUGGUGAUUGCCCAGGUUAUUUGCUUGAAUCUCGAUUUUUUCAUUUGUCAUAUAUUAAUUUCAAUAAUAAAAUUUUUGACCUUUGGCUUGGUUGAUUUAGCUUUUUUUUUGUGUGUGUGUGCGCAUAUGCAUGCUUUUAUAUUAUAUUAUGUGAAUUAGUUUAGACUAUUAUGAUGUAAGAUGAACAUUGCCAUAACAUAAUAAUAGUAAUAGUAUCCUUUUAUGUUCUGAAUUAAAUUAGAAGCUAUAUAAAUUCAAUAGAAAUAAUAAGAUCCUAUAAUCUCAAAAAGUUUCACUUCUUUAUUUUAUUUAAUGAAUUAUGUUUAAAAUAUUCUCUUUCGUUCUUGAAAACUUUAACCUUAAAAUAUAUCUAUAUUUAAAUUUGAGUUAAUCAACAAAACUUUUAUAUUGAAAUGAUUUUAAAAAAUUAAUUGAAAGCUUAACAUUGACAAUUUAUAUUUAAUACUAAAUAAUGUGGUUACAAAAUUCUAUUAUUUUGUGGGAGUUCUAAACUUCAAAUAUACCUUUUGUAUGAGUUGUAUUAAAGACAAGAAUACCUAUCUAUUUUAUACACAAAUUUGCACCAAAAAAAAAAAAAAUAGACUUUUUAUUUGUAACAACAAAAUACAAGUUUUUAUAUCUUUUUUUUACUUUAUUUGAAAAUUGUUGUGCGUUUAUGAAUGUUUCUAAAUGUUUACUUUCUUUUUAUAUUUUAUAUAAUUGUUCACCUUUAAAUGAGCUUAAAAUUUUUUAAAAAUAAUUAUUAGGUAUCUAUUCUUUAUCAAUUACGCGAUUUCUUGCUGCCAAAAUGAAUAUUGUUUGUCAUCUAAUUCAAAAACACAUUUAAAAAAGUGUUAAUAUUUUAAUCAAAAGUCUUUGUGAAUUAUGUUUAAUUUAUAUUUUUUAAUGCUAUUUACGAAAGUGAUUAAAAAAGUUAUAGGUAAUAUUGCUCAUCAAAUUUCUAUAAAUAAAUAACUAUCAAGGUAUGUUGUCAUGCUUAUUUAGCCUUUUAAUUUUUUAUAUUAUUUAUUAUUAAGAUUAAUUAUUUUUUUAAUCACAGUUACAUACCUAAAUAUAAAUUAUAGAAUAAACAAUGAAAAGUCACCUAAAGAUAAAUUAUAGGACAAACAAAUUUAAUUAGAAAAAUUUGCUUUCACAUCAUUUAAUAAAUUGUAUAAUAUUUUAAAUUAAAACUAUGAUCAAAUAAUUUGAAGUGCUUGAAGAGCCAUAGGAAGAGUAAUCAAAUCUCAUAUUUAAAAUUAUAUUUUUGAAAGAAUUUUAAAUCAUCUUUCUACUUCAUCAGAGGUAGAAGUAUGGACUGCGUACAUCUUACCCCCCAGACCCCACUAGGUGGGAAUACACUGGGUUUGUUGUUGUUGUUGUUGUUGUUGUUUCAUACUUUAUCUUAAAUUUAUUGAUAUAGUUUGAGUAGGAGUUUUACGGAGUAGAAAUAGAGUGCGGGGCUAAAGCGGAAUGGUGGAGAUAAAUUUUGGUGGGUGGGUGGGUGAGUGGGGCGGAGGUAACGGUAGAAACAAAGUUUUAUAUAUUCUUUUGUAAUGAGCAAUAUUAUAAAUUGUAUGUGCAUAAUUUUAAAUUAAGAGUGGUAAAUUUUUAAAUUUGACAUAAAAAAAUUUGAAUUAGAGAACUUAAUUACUUUUAGUCCAGUUAGUUAUUGAUUUUGAAUCGAUAGACCGAAAUCAGCAACAAAACAUAGUUAUAUAAGAAUAGUAAUUUCAUUCUUUUCAUAACAACAUCUAAAAUAAUUGCGACUAUGAUUAGUAAUUUCACUAUUAACAAUUAUUUUUAGUAUUCUAUAAUCAAUUUAAAAUAUGUUAAUAUGAUAUAAUUAAAAAUUUCAAACAGUUUAUUAGUUCAAAAGAAUAAGUUAGUAUUUUUUUAACGAUAUUCUUAAAAAAGAAAUAUUUCGCACAUCGCGCGGGUACGUAAACUAAUUUUCUUCUAAAUCUAUACAAGAAGUUGAAAUUUACUUUCCGUCUAAAAGAAUGAGUAAUGGUAGGCAUGUGGUAUUAUCGGGCGCUAAGUUUAUACAAUUUGAAAAUAAGGACUAAUUUAGCUACUUUAACAAUGUUGAGGAUAUAUUUGACUAACUAUUAAUGAAAAACAAAUUUAUUCUAUUUUGAAUAGUUCAGGAGCAAAUUUAAUAUUUUGACCCGUAUAAUAAACAAUCUUAAUUUGAUACACUAUUAAACAAAUUAAAUAUCUACCACAUCAGUAAUAACAUACUAGGUAGUCACAAAAUGAGGUAUGAGAAAGAAUAGAAUGUUAUUAGAAGUUUACUCAACCUCAAAAGUAGAGAAAUUUUUUUGAAAAAAUCAAAUGACAAUGAUCAACAUUAUGUAAUAUGUGAGGCUGCAAAAUGGUUGUGGGAAAGAAUCAUAUACUGAUUGAAUGGCAAAAUUAUCAAAGUUUACAAAUUGGGAUCAGUACAUGAACGGGAGUAUUCUCAAUGCAAAAGGCAAAUCUUGUAGAGCUCAAGUAUUUAAAAUGGUAUAUGUUGAGGUGGUUUACGCCUUAUAAAUAGAGAGAAAUUAGAGAAUUUUUGAGAAGACCAAUAGAGAUUGGGAGGCUGUAGCAAAAUGCAUCAGUCACUAGUUACCUGCAACAAUCGUUUGGUUGGGAAAUUGUUAUCUCGGGAUAACUAAUAUUGGGAUUAGUUAUCCCGAGAUUAUCCGAGAUAACUUAUUCCAUCAUGUAUAUGGGAUAAGUUAUUCCAUCGCUAUGAUGUAAAUGAUGGAAUAUUUUAUCCACUAUUGAUUAAUCCCUUCAACCAAAUAUGAAAUAAAUUGAUCUUUAUUUUAUCCCAAAAUUACUUAUUCAAAGAACUACUUAUACCUCAAACCAAACGAUAAGAGUAAGAGUAGUGUUUGAUUUUAAUUUGAUAUUUUGAUUAGUUGGUUGUGUUGUUUAGGCUAGACUAGAGUUAUCCUUUUCUACUUUAGACAGCAAGGUGUGAUGCCUAUAUGAUGUAACUUUGUCAUUGUGCACACUUUUGGUGAUAAAUAUAAAAUGUUUAUUUAUCAAAAAGAAAAAAACAUUAUGUAAUGAUAUAAAUUUCACUAAUUAAAUUAUGUAAACACUAUAACAAUAUUACAAACAUUUUACAACAUAUAAUUUGAAGUUUAUAGCAUGAAACAUUACAAUAACAAUAAUAACAUUUCUACUUAUCUAGAGAAAUUUCAUAAAUCGAAAUUAAGAAACAUGCAAAUUUCAUCAAUACCCAAAAAAAAAAAAGAUAAUAUUAUAUUUAAAAGAAAGCACAAUAACAUAUAAAGAAUUAUCAUGACAUUUUGCAUAAUAAUAGGGAGAUAAAAACAGGUAAAAAUUUCUAUUCACAAAAUUUUCAAGCCAAAGUUUCGUCCUUUUUUUUAAUUUUUUGGUAGAAGGCGAAAGUUUCCACUCAUAUCUGAAUAAGACCAUAGAGACUUAGCUCUAAUUAUUUAUUUUCUUUUUGCAUGCAAAUUUUUGAUAUCCUCAUGACAAAGACCUGUCACUUUGAUGGCUAAAGAGAAGAUGUCAUAAUUUUGCUAAAGUAAAUCAAAAAUGAAGACGGCAAACAACUACUUUGGACGGAGCAGUUGAAUCUAAUAAAUUUAUCUUAAAUGAUGUAUUUUUUUUAUCAUUCAUGUAUCUCAACUUAUAAUAAUUUAAUUUUGAUUUUUUCUUUUUACUUUUAAUGAAAUAAUUUACGGACAUAAUAAUUUAGACCACAAAUUUAAUUUUUUUUCCUUAAACUUCAUGUCCAUUCAAACUGACUUGUAUAAUUUGAGACAGAAGAAACAUAAAAUUAAUCUAUAUAUAUAAUUUUAAAUUUUCAACUUCAUUAUUAACAUUUAAAUCAUUAUUAUAGAAUUUAGAACUCAUAAAUUUAAAUUUAUAUGUAUAUAUAUACACAUCUCUCUAUAUAUAUGUAUAUAUUUUCUCCAUUUUAAAAAGAAUGAUUUAUUUUGACUUAACACAAAGUUUAAGAAAAUAAAGAAGAUAUUUGAAUUUUGUGGUCUUAAAUUAAAGUUGUGUUAAAUGUACUAAAAUGUUCUUUAAUUUUGUGUUUCUAAAUAUAUCAUGUGGAAAGUUAAAAUUAAAGUAUUACCAAAAAAGAAAAGAGAUCAUUCUUUUUGAAAUUAAAAAAAAACAAGUAGGUUAUUUUAUUUUUUAAACGGAGGAAGUAUAUAAGUCAAAAGUGUAAUAAGAAAAAAAAAAAAAAAAAAAGCAAUCAUCAAUAGCCACUCUCAAUACAAAGUCAAGAUUCUUAAUUCCACUAUGUAAUAAGUUUCUUUUCUUUGUCUUAAAAAAGAAAGUUUUAAAUUAAAAUAAAUAAAACAAUAAAACAUAAAGAAGAUUACGCAACCAAUGACGUGUUGUGGGCCCAACAAAGGGUGGUGACAGCAUAUGCAGCGUCAGCUUAACCACUUCACCCUCUUACCGACACCUCAUAUAUCACACCUAACACCAAACGGGUCCAGUAUCAUAUACUAAUUCGGGUCGGGUCAAAUAUCUCAUUUCUAUUAUUUUGGCAAUCAUAGUAGGCAAAAGUAAUGUAAUAUUAAAUGAUUUCUAAAAUUAAUUAAACAAAACAAAUGAAAAAAGAAAACAAUCGGGUCAAACCAAAUAAUGAGAUAUAGCAAUAAAUCGGGACCGGAGUCUUUAUCACAAUCAUGAAUAUUGGUUUCUUAUGCAUAAUUUGAAAAAAUAAUUUAUUUAUCUCAAUUUAUGCGGACAUUUUUUAAAAAUUAUUCUUAAAAAUAUCAUUUAAAGAAUUUAAUUAAAAAAAGUUUUUGUACUUAAUAAAAUAAUUUAGAAAUUUUCAAUUUUUUUGUUUGAGAGAAAACACUUACGUCACCUUUUCUUCUACAUACUACUAGACAAGCAUGAUCUGUGUCACCAUGAGCCCAACAUUAAAAUAUUUAUUUGUUUUUUUAAUCUUGAUAUAUUUAAAUAAAAGUUUUUAAUAAAAAAAUUGCAUAUGUUUUCUAGAAUUCAUCCGAAAUCUAGCAUGAAUUCAACAUAUGUUAUUUUAAUAUGUAUUUAGAUAAUUUAAGUCAUUAACUAUUGUAAUUUAUAAUAUUUUUUUUAUGUAUUUUUCAAAUUAAUAUACGUUAUUUUUCUUGUCCAAUUUUUUGUGGCAUUGAUAGUCAAUUAUAUUUUAAAAACAAUUUAAGUUUUUAAUUAUUGUGAUUUAUAACAUUUUUCUUCUAUUCCAAUUUCAGUGGCACUAAUAUAAUUUCAAAAGCGGACCAAAUAUUUUAUAUCUUUUAAAUUUUUUAAGUUGUUGAUUAUUGUGAUUUCUAGUAUUUGUCAUGUAAUUUUUUUUGAAAUAUAUAACAUAUUAAUUUUUUUUUUUAGAUAUUUUAAGUUGUUUACAAUUGUAAUUUAUUAUAAUUUUUAUGUAAUUUUUGAAUAAUAUAUGUUACUCUCCUUGUCUAGUGUUUUGUGUCGACAAUAGCCAAUUAUAUUUUUUAAAUAAUUUAAAUUUUUUAUCAUUGUGAUUUAUAAUAUUUUUUCUAUCUCAAUUUAUUUGACACAAUGCUUAAAUGAUCAUAAUAAUUAAUUAGGGGUAAUAUAGUAAAAUCACAACUGAAGCAGAAAUCAGUCAAUUUUUUUUGAAAAAUUGUUAAUUAUUGUUAUUUACAGUACUUUUUAUUUCAUUUUCAAAUAAUAGAUGUUGCUUUAUAUCUUCUUCUGUCUCGUCCCAAUUUAUGUGGCACUAAUAUAAGUUUGAUAGUAAAUCAAAUAUUUUAUGUUGACAUAUCAUUUUAUUAUUCUUAUUUUUCUAAUACAUAAAUGACUUAUAAUAAGGAGUGAAAUCAUUGUUCGAAAGACGAAAAUUUAAUUUAAAAUAUUGAGAGUUAAUUUCACAUUUUAUGUCUAUUUUAUUUUUCAUGAAAUAUUAUUUAUUUACUUAAUACCUAGAUGACUCAUAAUAAUUAAUUAAGACCGACUGAUUAUGUUAUUACUAUAAAAAUUAAUAUAAUUUUAUCAUAUCCAAUAGUAGUCAUCUAUAAUUCACCGAAAUAGUAUAUUAAUUAAAUACGAAAUGCUAUAUUUGCAUAUGCAAAAUAUGNNNNNNNNNNNNNNNNNNNNNNNNNNNNNNNNNNNNNNNNNNNNNNNNNNNNNNNNNNNNNNNNNNNNNNNNNNNNNNNNNNNNNNNNNNNNNNNNNNNNNNNNNNNNNNNNNNNNNNNNNNNNNNNNNNNNNNNNNNNNNNNNNNNNNNNNNNNNNNNNNNNNNNNNNNNNNNNNNNNNNNNNNNNNNNNNNNNNNNNNNNNNNNNNNNNNNNNNNNNNNNNNNNNNNNNNNNNNNNNNNNNNNNNNNNNNNNNNNNNNNNNNNNNNNNNNNNNNNNNNNNNNNNNNNNNNNNNNNNNNNNNNNNNNNNNNNNNNNNNNNNNNNNNNNNNNNNNNNNNNNNNNNNNNNNNNNNNNNNNNNNNNNNNNNNNNNNNNNNNNNNNNNNNNNNNNNNNNUAUAUUUACUCCUUGUGUCCCAAUUUAUGUGGCUUCGAUACAAUUUUGAAAGUCAACUAAAAUUUUUAUAUAUCUUUUAAAUAUUUUAAAUUGUUAAUUAUUAUGAUUUGCAACACUUUUUUUAUCUCAAUUUAUGUGGAAUUGCUAAAAUAAUGGGAGUCGAUAAAAUUUCUAUAUGUGGUAACAAAUUAGUUUUGAACAUGAUAGCCAAUUAAAUAAAUAAAAAUUUUUACUUCCAAUAUGUAGUUAUAGUUAAUUAAUAUAAAUUAAUAGAAUAUAUUAAAUAUUUAAAUAAUUAUGAUGAAAUAAUGGAAUUAUUAUAUAUUGGGACAUGUAAUUAAGUGGGAGUAGAGGAUUUUUUUGAUAGGAGUCAAUAAAAUGGAAUUAUUAUAUAUUGGGACAUGUAAUUAAGUGGGAGUAGAGGAUUUUUUUGAUAGGAGUCAAUAAAAUUUUUGUAUUUCUUUUAAAUAUUUUAAAUUAUUAGUUAUUGUAAUUUAUGGUAAUAAAUUAAUUUUGAACAUUAUAAAUAAGUAAAAAUUUAAUAUAUAACUAUAAUUAAUUAAUAUAAAUUAAUAAAAUAUAUUAAAUAUUUAAAUUAUUAUGAUGAAAUAAUAAAAUUAUUAUAUAUUAAGACAUCAUAUGUAAUUAUGAUGAAAGGACCAAAUAUAAUAGAAAUUUCAAGUGUAUACUCUUUCCGCCUUUUACGAAACUUCGUUGAGACACAUGGGUCCACUCCCUUGUCUCCUUAAACUUAAAGUAACCCAACACAAAAUUUUCUUGAAUUCUAACCCCCUUUUUAUCUUUUCUGGUUUUUCAUCUGAUCUUAUCUUAGCUUGAACCAAAAAAAAACAAGAAGUUAUUGGAAAUUUUUUUUGGUUGUCCUUGACUGAGGUGAAUUCUAUACCAUUUGAUUAAGUUGUGAUAACGAGUUGAAGGUUAUUGUUGCAAAAUUUGCCAGUUAUGUUGACUUAAUGUGAAAGCUGGUUGAAUUUUCAUUUGGGUAAGUUGUGAUCAAGCUCUUGAAUAUUUGCAUGUUGUAUUCUUGAGAAAAAGGAUAGUACAAUUUAUACGGUGAAAUUGCAGUUUAGUUAAAGGGAGGAUUUGAGUUGUAGUUUGGAAUUUGCUUAUUUUCUUGAUCUUAGUUGUAGUUUUGGUCAAACUUUAUUGAUGGUUGAUUAAGGUUUUGGAGAGGUUGUUUUUCUGCAUAGAGAAUAUUGUACUUUGGAUAACAACUUUUGAUUUUCUGGAGAUUGAUUAUCUUAGAUGUAGAUAAAUUUUGUGUAUUUUUUGGCCUAUACAAUUGUGAAAUGGCAAUUUCUGCUGAACCAUCAUCAUCUAUAAGCUUUACUUCAACUUCCAACACAUCGAAUGGUGGGUCGAUUGACAUUGGCCAAAACACAUGUGCCUGUGGUGGCACUGAGACAGGGAGUAGUUAUGAAAUCAUCAGCUUGAGUAAACUCAGUAAUAAUUUAGAGCAACUCUUGUUGGAUUCCAGUACUGAUUUUAGUGAUGCUGAGAUUGUUGUUGAGGGUGUUUCAGUUGGUGUUCAUCGUUGUAUAUUAGCUGGCAGGAGUAAUUUUUUCCGGGAUCUUUUUAGGAAAGAAAAGGGGAAUUGUGGAAAGGAAGGUAAGCCAAGUUAUUCUAUGAUCGAUAUUUUGCCUUAUGGUAAGGUUGGAUAUGAAGCUUUUCGUACUUUUUUAAGCUAUUUGUACUCGGGGAAGUUGAAGCAGUUCCCUCCAGAGGCAUCAACAUGUGUGGACCCUUUAUGUGCCCAUGAUUCUUGCAGCCCAGCUAUCAAUUUUCAUGUCGAGUUGAUGUAUGCCUCUUACGUGUUUCAGGUUCCAGAGCUAGGGUCACUUUUUCUGGUUGGUAACAUCCUUUCUGCUGAUUAAUAUACAUUUCAAGUGGGUUUGUAGUGUUCAUUGUGAUUCAAGCUAACAAGGACAAAUGCAAAAGGUUAUAGGCUUUUAGCUCGAUGACGAUAAUUAGAUAUAUUAUGAAAUCUCGAUGUAAGUUUUUGAUUUGAAAUGAUUUUUACUUCUAAACUGAUGGUAAACUGUCAAAGAAAGAAAAAUUCAAUACAUUAAUCAUAUUGAAGUGACAUACACGGCAAGACCAUUGUGGUGUGAAUCGAAAUCCAUUCAUUUGCUCAUACUUUAGUCGCUACUCUCGUCAUGAUAUUCUUUUCAGUUAAUAUUGUUUGCUCGGAGAAAAGUAGUUCUAAGUUUUUUUUAAACAGAAAAAGUUACUCAUUGCAAUAGGACCUUGUCGAGUUUACAUGAAAUAUCUCCAACUCAUCGAUGGAUAUAACAUUUGGAACUCACUUGAUGUUAUUAUGCAAUAAAUUUGAUUCGUCUGUGUUGGUAUCUUUGAGUUUAGCUUGCAUAUUUAAUAAUUGUGCUUUAGGCAGUCGGAUAUCAUUGUUAGUUUAAGUUUUGAGGGUAGUGGUCUCUGUGGUAACCUUUUCAAAUCUGUCUAAUGUUUAAUAAACACAAUGUAUAUUGAGGGCACGUAAUCUAAGGCUGCUUCGAGUUUAUGCAUUUGUAAAAAAUAUGUAGAGCUUUUUUAGCAGCAACCAAGAGAACAGUCUGCUAACACUAGCUUGUAUAAUUGCAGCGACGCCUUAUCAAUUUUGUCGGGAAGGCUCUUGUGGAAGAUGUUAUCCCAAUACUUGGAGUUGCUUUCCAUUGCCAAUUGGACGAGCUUCUCACUCAUUGCGUUGAUAGAGUAGCGCGAUCAGAUCUUGAAAGCACAUGUAUUGAGAAGGAGGUUCCCUUUAAAGUUGCAGAGAGUAUUAAGUGUUUGCGGCUGAAAUGUCAGGGUGAUGAAAGCAAGGUUCUACCCAUGGAUCCCUUGCAUGAAAAGAGAAAAAAUAGGAUAUACAGGGCAUUGGAUUCGGAUGAUGUUGAACUUGUCAAGCUUCUACUUAACGAGUCUGACAUAAGUUUAGAUGAAGCCUAUGCUCUUCAUUAUGCUGUUGCAUAUUGUGAUCCCAAGGUUGUUACAGAGGUUCUUGGACUGGGUGUUGCUAAUGUCAACCUUCGAAAUACACGUGGUUACACUGUGCUUCACAUUGCUGCCAUGCGUAAGGAACCAUCAAUUAUUGUAUCACUUUUGACUAAGGGAGCUCAUGCAUCGGAGAUUACAUUGGAUGGGCAGAGUGCUGUUAAUAUCUGUAGGAGGCUGACUAGGCCUAAGGAGUACCAUGCCAAAACCGAACAAGGCCAGGAAGCAAACAAAGAUCGGGUAUGUAUUGAUGUUUUGGAGAGAGAGAUGCGUCGCAACCCAAUGGCAGGAGAUGCCUUACCCAUGUUGGCCGAUGAUCUGCCCAUGAAACUGCUCUACCUGGAAAACAGAGGUACCUUUUAUAAUACGCUUGGGUUUUCCACUUUUUACCAAUCAAGGCCCAAGCAACUACUAGUCUUCGAGUUCUGGAAGCUAAACUUCUUUGUUGGAAAUUCACACUAAGCAAGAUUAGUGGUCCUACUGGACUUUGUUCAUUUAUAAUAGUUGUGUAACUAAGAUUUAAUCAUUUUGUAUGAUUAGUUCAUGAUUUCAAAUCUGGAAAACUCCGAAGAGAAUAUACACUGAAUUUGUGAGGAAACCUUAACUGUUAAUGUUGAAAGCAUGGUAAUGUGCUGGUCUAUUUGCACCAGGAUAUGCUGUCGAUUAGUAGACGCUCACCUCCAAGUUUUGGUACAUGAACUACAGUGUUAUCAUUUUUUGGACAAUGACGCUGGUCACAAUACCAGUUAAUACCACACUGAUAGUAUGAGGGAAUUUAGGGUAGACUAAUCCAGUCCAAAGAAAAAAAAAACGUUAACAUACACGCACACACACACACACACCCGAGUAACUUCUUCAUUAUAAGAUGACUUGGAAGAUAGCCAGGAUGUUAUCAUUUACCAAUGUUUGCAUCUGUUUAGUACAAUAUCUAUUCUGUCAAAAUUGACUUGGUUUCUUCAUUCAAUUCUGAUGAAUCUAUACCACUCAACAAGUUAUUUUGUGUUGGCUUUUGUUUUACAGUGGCAUUCGCACGGUUAUUGUUCCCUCUUGAAGCCAAACUAGCCAUGGAAAUUGCAAAUGCUGAGACAACAGCUGAAUUUGCGGACCAUUUGACAUCCAAAGGUUCAUCUGGAAACUUGAGGGAGGUUGAUCUGAAUGAGACACCCUUAAUGCAAAAAGAGAGACUCUCAAAGACAGGUAUCCACUGAUAGACAGUUUAUUGAUUAAGCUCGUCUUACAUGCACCAGAUUACCUAUUUAUUUCUACUUGCAUCAUUAUCUAAUCAGUAGCUAUUAAUUGACAUUAAGAGCAUCUAGACCUGAACCCAUUUUCUGCUUCCUCCCUCCUUUUCUCCCAAAAGAGGAAAAGAAGGAAAAACAAAGAAUGAAAACUACUUUUGGUUUAUUCUCUAGCAUUAACAAUUGAUGUUAAAUCCCCGAAAUGUCCAGGAUAAUAGAAUAAUUAAUAUGUGCAUGUGUGAAGGAUUUUGCCAACCUUCGACAUGACUUUAGUAUGUCACUUUAUAUGCAAUUUUCUUUUUCAUUAAAUACCCUUCUGACUUGAAAGAACGACUAUAUAUAUAAAAUUAUAACUGGCAGCAUGUACGUGUCAUGCCUGUAAGUAUGAUUAUAUAAAGUGGAAAUUCAGACUUCAAACUGUAAUAUCUUUGACCAAAAUAUGGCGAGUAACGACUUCUUAUCCUACUUCAAGUCAUUUCUUCUGUAGUCUCGCAAAAUUGUCCAUCUCUUACUGUUGGUCCGUUCCCUCCCUUGACAUUUACAGUUAAGAAGCAGCAAGAAGGGAAACACCAGGUUUGUAGUUGUCUAUAUAGGUGAUCAUUAGUUUGGACCUCUUUAUCCUCAAAGGUGUAAAAUCUUCCCUUCUGUUGUUCGUUUUAGGACAGAUAGUAAAAAGAGACGGAUGAAAGUUUUUAUUUGGACCAACUGGUGUCUCUUAUUCCCAAACGUGUUCAUUUCUCUUAUCUUCCCUUUCCUAGUUUCUAGGCAGUGUGAAGAAAAAGGGAAAAAAAAGUGAAAUAGGUACAUGGUUUUCUUUAGAGAAGAAUCAACAAGAUAUAACAAGCUCAUUAUUUCUUUAUUUUUUAUUUUUGAUAACCGUGCUGUCCGGGACAAGCUUUCACGCACCUGGAGUAAAUCCACGAAAUACGUACCACCUCCCACUAGCAACAAAUCAGGUAACUCUAUCCAUCAAGGCUAGGCCGAAUGGAAGACCUAGUUUUUUUUUUGUUUGUGCUGAGAUUUGAACCCGAGACUCGGGUUUUCAACCCACUUCAUUGACCAAUAGGCCACAUCAGCUCAUUAUAUUUUCUCUAUACGGUAAUCCCCACCCCUCCGCACCCUUAGACACUCUCUGUCCAGGAGUCAUGGGUGGUGCUCCCGUGGUUGUCUUAAACCCCCAACCUCUUUGGUUAGAGGUUGAGGGUUUCUUGGACUAGUCUACACCUCACUUUUCAAGUGCAGAUCCUUAGUUUGUUGUCUUUUUUAUACAUGGCAUCAUGUCUUGAACUUUGAGUACCUUGGUCAUUUAAGUCUGGCAUAUCACUGAUUUCCCCAACCUUCCAGUUUACUACUGAAUGUUGCUGGAAAGUUGGCAUAUGACUUAGUUGAGCUUUUCCCUUUCUUUACAGCUAACUGUUCCUUCAGCAGGNNNNNNNNNNNNNNNNNNNNNNNNNNNNNNNNNNNNNNNNNNNNNNNNNNNNNNNNNNNNNNNNNNNNNNNNNNNNNNNNNNNNNNNNNNNNNNNNNNNNNNNNNNNNNNNNNNNNNNNNNNNNNNNNNNNNNNNNNNNNNNNNNNNNNNNNNNNNNNNNNNNNNNNNNNNNNNNNNNNNNNNNNNNNNNNNNNNNNNNNNNNNNNNNNNNNNNNNNNNNNNNNNNNNNNNNNNNNNNNNNNNNNNNNNNNNNNNNNNNNNNNNNNNNNNNNNNNNNNNNNNNNNNNNNNNNNNNNNNNNNNNNNNNNNNNNNNNNNNNNNNNNNNNNNNNNNNNNNNNNNNNNNNNNNNNNNNNNNNNNNNNNNNNNNNNNNNNNNNNNNNNNNNNNNNNNNNNNNNNNNNNNNNNNNNNNNNNNNNNNNNNNNNNNNNNNNNNNNNNNNNNNNNNNNNNNNNNNNNNNNNNNNNNNNNNNNNNNNNNNNNNNNNNNNNNNNNNNNNNNNNNNNNNNNNNNNNNNNNNNNNNNNNNNNNNNNNNNNNNNNNNNNNNNNNNNNNNNNNNNNNNNNNNNNNNNNNNNNNNNNNNNNNNNGCAGGAUUGUUUGCACAUAAAGGUUCCAUUAUGAAUUGAGAAUUUCAGAACGAUAUUUUCAAGUUCCUCUUCUCGUUAUUCUAAACCGGUUCUGAUUUCAUGGUUGCAGUUGAGCUUGGCAGACGCUAUUUUCCUCAUUGCUCUCAAGUUCUGGAUAAGUUUAUGGAGGAUGACUUGCCCGACUUAUUUUUCCUUGAGAAGGGCACUCCAGAGGAACAAAAGAUCAAGAGGAGGCGAUUUAAGGAGCUCAAACAUGAUGUUCAAAGGGCAUUUAACAAAGACAAGGCUGGACUUCAUUGCUCUGGCUUGUCUUCAUCAUCAUCUUCCACCUCUUUUAAAGACGGUACAAGUAUCAAAGUCAGGAAACUAUGAUAGUAACUAGGUUUUGUCCUACAAGUUGUUUGUAAACUCAGUUUUGGAUGUAAGAAUAAUAGCCUUUGAAACACCUACCUUGUAAAACCUUCAUUAGAGUGCCUGCUCUAUCGUUGACCAUUUUCAUAGUUCAUCUUGUUAAACUUGCUUGUUUACAGUAGAAAUAAAGUUGCAUAAGAACACGAUUGUAGAAAUAUUAAUGAUGUGGAAAUGAUUCACGUAUAUGGGGAAUUUACCGUAUUUUGUAACUAGGUAGAGAUAUUUGGAUCAUCAUUUUUGAGAAUGAGAUGGGCAUUUCUUGUCACAGAAGAUGGUGUUUAUGUUGUGUUGCAGAUCAUUUUCAUGUUACAUUCUUGAAAAACAAAAAUUUUGGUACUAAUUUUGCCUCACCUAUAUCUUCUUUUCUAUUCAAGUCAGAAUAUGAUCUCACAAGUUCAUCAACAAAUGCGCUUUUUUUUUUUAAACAUAAGUUGAAAAGUAAGAAACUACAUGUAGGUGUUUUGCAAAAAGUUAUCAGCCAUUACCAUGGGUAAAUUCAAAGCAUUUCAGCUCUUGUAUUAUCUGUGUGAUUUGAAAGAUGCCCAGAACGUGAACAUAUUCGUGGGCUCUACAUAUUUGGCACCAACUUCAUGCACACAACAAUAGCAGCCUUGUGUAAUCCAACUUGAUGCAUAGUAAUGAAAUUAACAUUUGAUUAAGAGACACAUUGGAAUUGUUUUUAUAACUCUGGUGUCCAAGCACGUUUGCGUACAAAUCCAGCAGAUAUCUGCCACCUCCCACGAGUACACGUACUAAGUAACUCUGUCCACCAAGACUUGCAUAUGAGCAGAAGUGAUCUAGCAUUUUGUUCACAAAAUUAUUCCACCCACACAUAGUAAUGUUGAGAAAGAAAGCGCAGGCGCACAAAUCAUGGCCUGUUCAAGACAAAGGAGUUUUGUGGCCAAACCAAUAUUGUUUCAUAAUUACAUAACAAUACAUCAUGAACAGUUUAUUAUUUGGGAUAAAGAUUAGGGAAAAGGGAACACAACUCAGAAUGAGAUAAUUGAUAUUUAACAGGAAAUGCCACAAUCUAUGGUUGUGAAAAUCAGGGGCAUACCAGAAGAAAGAGAAUAACAGAAGCAGACAGAAAAUGUAGUACACAAAGAAACAAGCAAAAGAAGAAGUGUACUUCUAAAUUCUGAUAGUAACAGAAUAGAUUGCUUUCUUUGUUCUUAAAGAGAAUCCCCUCCCCCACAUGAGAGAAAGAUUCUUGAACCUUACUCAGGAUAAGAAACUUGACCGGAAAAAAAAAGACAAGAAAAUUGAGAGAAUUGACAAACCUAUACAGGUCUAACGACUUGCCUCCCAAAAUCACGUACUAAGCCGGGGGUCUAUCGGAGACAGCCUCUCUACUUCUCUACUUCACCUGAGGUAGUGGUAUGGUCCGCGUACACUCUACUCUACCCUCCCCAAACCUCACUAUGCGGGAAUACACUGGGUAUGUUGUUGUUGAUUCCCAUGCCAACUAGCCCGCACCUCGACUAAUCCUCCAGGCGGCCACUAUCUCCCACCAACACAUACCAACUAAUUCUAUCCAUCAAGGCUUAUCAAAAGGAUGGCAGGUCGGAUAUUAUUUUACAAGUCUAAAGAUAUGUAACAGACAGAUUUUACCACAAGCUUCUGUAUAUGAAAUCAGUUCAUGAUACCUAACAAAAUAUCGAGAGUCCGCUCGUCUAAAGCAUGAAGAGGAGUUGUGAUGGGAGUAGCAGCUACCAACCGGGAUGAGAAGUCCUUUAACUGAAAGAAAGCAGAGUAAAACCAAGUGAUCCCCCCCUUCUGAAACUUCAAAAUAUCAUUGAGUGAUUUGUGUCCCCUAACAAGAGACGUAUUAAGAAUCUUAACCGAAAAAAAAAAUAAAAGGUACAACACUGCACAUUCAAUUAGAAAUACAUUUUUCUAAAAAAACAGCUUAAGAAAAAUGGCCACUUUAUUCAUCAAAAUCGAUAUUGAAAAUCAAUUAGCUGAUUGAAGUGAACUUUUUAAACUUUCCCACAUUGCUGGACCUUCAGGAUGUAUGUCAACAAAAUAUUUUACAAAGCGAGUAUCUGAACAAGCAAGAAGAGUGCUCACUGACAAUGUUGGUUUUGCAGCACCCUUUUGCUUCAGCCAUGCAUACAUUGAAAACCGACGAUGGACUCUGUCCACAUCAUAGCAGAGGUAAGAUGGAAAUGAUACAAUCGACUCCACGGGAUAACCUAAAUAUGUUUUCAGUAAAUCAAUUUUCUUCUCAAUCACAUUUUUGCUCUGGUUCAGCGUCGUUGGAGCUCGUUUGAUCAUAUUGAUUACAACAUUGCAGUCCAAACCAGCAUUUACUAGGCAAUCAAACCUCUCUUGCAAUUGGUCUCCCCGUCCACGGAACUGUUUCAAAGCUUUUGCCAUCUCAUCCGUAUUUUCUAAGUAACCUAAUCUCAAUAAGAAAGUAGUUUUCUCAAAUAAUUUUCCCGGGCUCUGGGAAGUCAUCUGAUCCACGUUAAAUUUUGAUUUUGAAGCUAGUCUAAAUAAAUUCAAAGGAUCAUCCUUUACAGUCUGACAUAAACGACACUUGUCACCCUUGAAGCCCCUCAAAACAGUCUUUGGUCCCUUCAGAGAAUGUGAACCCAGAAGUUGUAUAUGUGCAGAUACAAUGUUUGAAAUGUUAUCGAUCUCUAAUCCAAUCUCCAAUAAGAAGUACAAUGCAUGCCAGAGAUUUUUAGCACACUUCAGAGAUAGAAUAUUAGGAUUUUGACAGAAUAGUGAGUAUACGUCAUUCAUUUUAAGACCCAACUUCAGUAAUUGCCCAACCAAUACAUAAAUCCGUUUCCCAGAGCCUUCAAAUAAGAAUGCAGGGUUCAUCUUAAACAAAGUCGCUAUCUUUUCAUCGCUAUAUCCUAUUUCAUUGAGAAAAUGCAAUGUGUUAAGCAUUCUACCCCAACUGUAGGAGUGCCUGUUGGAUAAAUAUCCUCCCAUCCAAUCAUUUUCAAACCCUAAAAUUUUCAAUUUUUCAAGAACCUGAAGAAGUUCGCUGUUCAUCUCACCAAGCAAAAGAGUAGGGGAAGAAGUCACCAACUUUAUAACUGUUGAUCUGCUCAACCCCAGUUUCUCAUAAGCCUUCAAUUUCAUAUCUAAUACUCCAUCUUCAUAUCCAAAUAUCUCAGUCGCAUCCCUAUAAAUCUUCCCAAGUUUAGUGCGAGGGAUGCCAUAAUAACAAAGAACAUGAUAAUUAUCAAGCAAGACAUGGUCAUCACUCAAAAACAUCAAAUCUCGUGGAAGCAUAGAUGUAACCUCAGACGGUUUCAACCCCACGCUCUCCAAGAACGGCUCAAACUCAUUAAUCGGAUAAUAUCUAAAGAAGCGGGUCAAUGCCCUUGUUACAUCUUGAUCAUUAUCAAUCUUGGACAACAAACUUUGAAGGAAAUGAGGUGAAUUCUUGCUAAUAUGCUCAGCAUCCAUAUAAUUAAAACCUCUAGUACAAUGCAAGUAAUCAAAAAGAGCUGCUUGUCCAUCCGUUCUUGCGACCCGCGUUAUUUUACUCACAGCAGGAAAAACAGGUGUCUGAGUUGUCAAUUCAGGGACUGAAACCUUAACAUUAUGUGAACUACGAAAACAUCGAAUAUUCAACGAUUGAAAGUUCUGGGGACUAAUCAAAGUGGAACCCUUUUCAGUAAUAGGAGAAACAAAUAAGUGAUUAACCUGAGAUAUCAUUUUCCAAGAUACAAUUUUUCGGACUCUCCGAAUUACUAACAUCUCAAAUAGAAUAUAUAAUUUCUAGCCUAUGCAAAUAGUCCAAGAAACUUUCAUGGGUGAUUCAUUUUCUACAUAAAUACAUUAAAGAUAUCACAUUAAUGUACAAUUGUUCAGCAAAAGAUGGUUUUUUUUUUUGGUGAUUUUACAAGUCUAAUAGAGUGAAAUUGAAGGAAUUGUUGAUACCUCUGAUUGUAAUUGGUGCUUCUUUGUGCCUUAAUCAACAAUGCUUAGAUACAAAGAGGAUAAUAGGGUUUUAGCUUAGAUACAAAGAGGUAGUUGAGAAUUCUACAACCCUAGAAGGGAGGAGGAAAAAGGAAACCCAACCCGCUACUCCAAGCCCCACGCCACUCCACCCCACCCCACCCCACCCUAUACCCCCAAACCUCCUGCUCCUUCUGUCGGUUUUUUCUUUUAUUUUAUGUUACACGAAAGCCCAUGUAUUAUUGUUCAGUUGGAAAUAUCCCUUUAUAGUUUAAAAUUUAUACACUUAACUCCCUUUAAUAAAUACUCUCCCGUCUCGUUUUACUUUUGACUCUCAGGGGUCGUUUGGUUUGAAAAUGGUUAUUUCGGAAUAAAUAAUUAUCCCGAGAUAAAAUUAAAAAAUGCAUUUUUCUUUAUUUGAUUGGAGGAAUUAAUUUAACUCGAGAUAACUUAUCCCAUAUACAUGGUGGGAUAAGUUAUCUUGAGAUAACUAAUCUCGGUAUUAGUUAUCUUGGGAUAACCAUUUUCAAACCAAACGACACCUUACUAAUACUUAAACUAAUUGUUUCUGUUAUAAAAUAAUAAAGAAUAAAGAAAAAGAGUAGAGAGAGAAGAGAGACUUCUUUAUUUCUCUUGAGGGAUGAAUUACAAUGAAGCAAAACUCUUUUAUUUGUAGGAAAAAACCAAUAGACAUACACAAUAUAUGGUAAAGUAGGUAUUCACUAUAUAUGGUAAAGUAGACAUUCACUAUAUAUGGUAUAUUUAUAACACUCCCCCUGAAUGUCUAAUUGAUAGAUAAUGUGCAUCAUUAAAAUCUUACUAGAAAAAACCCAGUGAAAAAAAAAAUCUAGUGAAGGAAAAAAAUAUACAUCUCUAACAAUACGCAUAUAGGUUGCCUCAUUAAAAACCUUACAAGAAAAAUCCAGUGAGACAAAACCUCGUAAGAAAAAAAGAGUACAACGCGUAUUAACUCUCCCUAAUGAGAACAUCCUUGAGCCUUUGCAUCCCAAUCUUGUGCACCAUCUUCUUGAAAGUUGUAGUUGGAAGAAACUUGGUGAAUAAAUCAGUCAUAUUAUCACUUGAAUGAAUCUGUUGCACGUUAAUAUCACCAUUCCUUUUAUAGCUCAUGUGUAUAGAAAAGCUUUGAUGAGGUGUGCUUCGUUCUAUCUCCUUUGAUGAAUCCUCCAUUAAGAUGUUCUAUGUAUGUUGCAUUGUCUAUGUAUAAAACUGUGGGUGCAUUGUCAUAUUUCAGACGACAUUUUUCUCGAAUGAGAUGUAUCAUGGACCUCAACCAUAUACAUUUUCGGCUAGCAUCAUGAAUAACUAUUAUCUCAUCAUGGUUCAAUGAAGUGUCUAUAUAGACUGUUUUGUAUAUCUCCAAGAUAUAGCAGUAUCCCCACAUGUAAAUAAAUAGCUUAUUUGAGAUCGAGCUUUAUACAGGUCAGAUAAGUACUCAACAUCAGCAUAACCAACAAGAUCGGGACUAUAAUCUUUAGAGUAAAAUAAGCCCAUAUAUUUUAUCUCAUUUCGAUGUCUCCUAGUAGGACCAAAACUAUAUCUUGCUAACAAAUUGACCGAAAAAGGUUAUGUCAUGCCUUGUAGUAUUUGCAAAUACAUUAGUGCACCAAUUGCAAAAAGAUAUGAUACUUCAUAACAAAGGAGUUCCUCAUUUUUUUUAUUGAGGUCGGAAUCAAUCCUUAUUCAAUUAUGUAUGUUUCUCAUUUAAGCAAAUAUUCUAUUGCUUUUGAAAACUCUCCAAGAGUUUCAAUAAUUUUCAAGUUAUAAGCUUAUACAAUAUAAGGAUUCUAAAUAGGUUUCCUAGAAACUUUUAUAUGCUUCAAACAUUUUGAAUCCUUAGAAAGUUUUCAUUUAAAUUUUGUUUAGUGACAAUAUUCAACAUUUCAUAUGUUACAUUUUCAAGUGUCUGGACUGCAAAUCAAAUAAGUUUUACACUUAUCAAGAUGCAUCCUUUCAUUCCACUUGGUAAAUAUUUCUACGCCAGCAUGCUUAAAUAAACAUAGAAUUUAGAUCCUCGUAAUCUUUUACAAUAUUGCAUCAAUAUUGUAUCAAAUAUAUCAUCGAUGAUAUAUCAUUUCAUAUCCGUUCACAGUGUGACAUAAACAUUUUGAGAUCUCAUUACUUCGUUAUUUUCAGGUACCUAAACCUUUCAUAAGGAUUCAUGAAGUGUUAUGUCGUAGGCUCUUCAAGAACACAUUGCCUUCUUAUUAUGAUUAUUUGCUCCUAAUCAUUUCAAGGAUUAUUUCAUUUGAAACCGAUUAGUCUACCACGCUUCAUGCAUGCAUAGAUUUUAUCCUUUAAGAAUGCAAAUAGGAUCACUUGUAGCUUAAAUAUAAUACUAAAUUUGAGUCAACAUAUGCUUCCGACAUUUGACUUGAAUUAUCUUUUGAACGAGGAUCCGAUGAUAAUUCCUAACAUAUUUCAUAGCUACUUAUAAUCUCCCCCUUAUGUUAGGAAAACCAACAUUUACCCCCCAUCAUCAUUGAGGAAUUCAUCUUUGUGCAUCAUGGUAUAUUAUUAAUUGUAUACUGCAUAUCAUACUAUUAGAUGGAAUAGUUGGUUCCUGACCUUGAACCAAUUGAGAGGGAAGAAAUAAUCAUAAUUUAAUUUAUUGGUCUAAGGCAUACAAGUGUUAUUGUAUGCAACAUAUCAUAUUUCAGACCAACACAUGAAGCUUUGUUCUUAUUAGAAAUGAUUUAGCUAUUUAUCGAAGGCAUUCAAUGUCAAACCAUCAUCAUCAAGAUUGUCUUGAUUACACAAUCUGAAAGUUAUGCUCUUAACUCAAUUUUUUUGAGAAAGAAACUUUAUGAAUGUCAAACUGCAGCUUGACAAUGAAUGUACAUGUGAUUAUCUUAUAUCGAUACAUCUUAAUAGAUCGCAUGACUGGUGAACGGUCCCAUAUUUACCUUUUAUACUUUUCAGUUUUUGAGGGAUCAAAUCCAAACAUUAGUUGGUCCAACCAACUUAUUAUGAGAACAAACAACAUAAACAAUUCUUGAAGAAUCUUUUAUUUCUUUAACAUAUGUCUAGUACUCAAUAUGCGCAUCUUCAUGAUGGCAAAUCAUUUAUAUCAAUAGAUUAAAUGAUUUGUAUUAGUAACUCCAAGUUACCAUAACAUUUACAAAAAUUCUUUAGCAAACAUCAGGUUUACUAUUGCAUGAAUUUCGUAUCAAUAAACAAUAAACUCUUAGUUUAUUAUGGCGUGUGAUUUCAUCAUGCUUGGGUAAAUUUUCACAUUCUGUUUCUUAUCAACUUGAAGAUAUUCAAUCUUUCAAUUAUUCUACCUCUUUUAGAGGUGGAUUGUGAUAUCUUCACAACAAAGAAUACGUUCGAGUGUAUAUACAGUCACAUUCACCUCCAGGGUAUAGAUCUGUAUUUAUAAUAAUUGAAAUUCUCAUUUUCAGGAAUGAAAUAUAAUCAUGCCUUAAUCAUUCUUAUUCCCAGGAAGAAUGAAAUAUAAUCAUGCCUUAAGCGUAUCAAAUUAUGAUAGCUACUUCAAAAACAAAUUGAGGCAUACAUAUGAUUUAUUGCUACCAUAUUCAAUUUAAGAAAUGGAGCAUAUUUAGUGGAAUAUGUUUCAUUACUUUUCACCAAAUACCCAUUAUUUUGCCCGAGCCAUCAUAAUAUCAUCAAUAUAGUACAUUGAGAUUCAAACUCAACGUUUUAUCCAUAUAAAGGUGUCUUAGGCAUAAAUCAAUGAGACUUGAACCUAACAUAUUAUCAUGAUCCCUUUCGAUAAUAUUGUUCUUGAUAAAUAAAUUUAAAACAUAAUGGAUCCAAACCAAUUAUUUUUCCUCAAAUCCAACAAUAAUUAUAUUAUUAGUAGCAAAAGACGAAUAACAUAAGGAAUUACUAACCUUGAAAUUCUUUAGAUUUAUAAUCUCACCUAUUUGACAGAGUCUCGUGCUGAUAACGUAUUAUAAAAUAAUAAAGAACAAAGAAAAAGAGUAGAGAGAAGAGAGAGACUUCUUUAUUUCUCUUGAGGGAUGAAUUAUAANNNNNNNNNNNNNNNNNNNNNGUAGGGAAAAACUAACCUUGGGGUUUGUAACUUUUUCAUAAAUAGACAUACACAAUAUAUGGUAAAGUAGGUAUUCACUAUAUAUGGUAAGUAGACAUUCACUAUAUAUGGUAUAUUUAUAACAGUUUCAAUUUACUUGUUCAAUUUAUAAAAUUAAGAUGAUACGGGACAAAUGGCCAUCUUAUCUUUUGAUGACAUCUUUAGAGGCCAACACAUAGAGGCUCAAGACUUGGUCACCUUGAGGAUACGAGAACAUGCAUGGAGGACCCAUUUUGAGCAUGCCAUUAAACAAAUCCGUGUGUGAAAGAUUGUGUGGGGGCUUACAUUUGAUGCCAAUUUGAGACUAUAAGUUUUGAAGUGUGACCCCAUGGUUUUGGAGCAUUGAAUAAGCACCCUUCAUUAAGGGUAUUUUGGGGUUUUCACAUGUUAAAGAAAUAACCCAUGACCUCUCCUUUCAUUAAGGGUAUUUUGAUCCAUUAUACUAUGUAAUAAGCUAGGUUAUAUAGUCUCUUAUUAGGUCUUUUCUCUUUAGUUUAUGAAAGAUGAAAGAUUGAAACACUUGAAAUCCUCUCUCUUGAGAGUAUACCACCUUAGAAUAGUCUUAGUUAGGACUUGAAAAAGUCAUCCUUAGUAUAGGGCUUGGAAAAGCCAAUAUUGUUCUUUGCUUGGAAACGAUGGAUCUUGAGGUGAGUCGAUUACAUUGGCGGUCAUCGUAAGAGUGUGAUUUUGAUUAUUAAAUUCAUUAGGGGUUAAUGUUGAAAUACACUUGGUUCUUAAUCUUGUAAUAAUCUUGGUCUCACUAUCUAUCCUUUCAUUAUUUUGCAAAUCCGUGUGUUUUGUGUUUGUCAUCUUAUAUCCCUUUGUAUUGCUUGUUCUUCUCACGUUUUCUGGACUGUUUUGGCUUCUUGGUAGAUUGAUUUAUAUCAUUUGGUAUCAAAUCCAUCAUUGAUUUCGUUCCCACGAGAUCAAUCUUGGGUUUGUUCACUCAAAAAAAAUUGUUGAAAAGCUGAAAAACUCAAAAAUAGUAAUCUGUCCACGUUUUUUUGUUUAGGCCAAAAUUUGAAGCCUAGUUUUCUUGUGAUUUUUGUGUGUUUUGUGUGUUCUAGUGUUAGAUCUUUGUUUCCUAACAUUAGAAGAGGUGUUCAAGUUCGAAAAUCUCACAAAAAGAAGUUAUUCUACGGGUUUGGUGUCUUGGCCGAAGUGUUGUUAUUGUUUGACCGAAUUUGUGUCUAGAUUUAGGUGUUGUUUUGAUUGUGUUUGUUGUUUCUUGUGUUGGUUUUCUUUCUCUCUAACACUAAUUGAGUCUAACCCAUGUUUUUGAGCAAAAAAAAAUGCAAGUUAUUGUGGGAAGAGUGGACGGUUUUGUUGUUGUUGUUGUUGAAGUUCUUGUGUUGUGUUAAAGAAGUCUAGUAAAAGGUUGUUGUUUGAUCCAAAUUCAAAGGGAAGAGAGUGUGGGCUCUUUUUAGUCUUGAAAAAACUUUCAAGAAAUUACCAAAGAGGAAAAAGAACAAAAGACCUCCCAAAAGUCUUCAUACCAAAAGGGAGUAAGUUCAUUUUUCUAGACAAGCCAAAAGAGGAAAGGGGGACAAGACCUCUAAAAAGUUGUCUUGCCAAAAAGGUGAAAGUUGGUCAAAGUUUGAAUUUUGAGAAAAAGGACUUAAAGUCUUGUUUUUUAACCUACCAAAACCGAAAUUCCCACCAUCUUUGUGAAAUUUGAACAACCAAAAUUGUGAAACAAAAUUUUUCAACUUCAAUAAUUUUUUUUGUCCAUCGACCAAUAGUCAAGUGCCACAUCAUCAAUAACUCAAGAACGUUGGAAUUCCUAGUUUCACUUUUUUGAUUCUAUUGGUUUCCAUUUUGUUAGUUCUCAUACUAAUUAGCAAACUAGUAAAUACCUACUAGAUUGUAGAUUAGUUUUUGAGUAUGCUUUCUUUCGUGUUAAGCGUUGUAUUUUGUGCUUUUAUCGUUUAUAAGUUGUAGUAUUUUCUUUGUUUCAAGUUCGUAAGUAAAUUUUAUUUUUGUGUCUUGAGUCGAUCAAACAAAAAUCCAUUCUGACCGCCAAGUAGAAUUGACAUCCUAUUGACUACCAGAGUAUAAGCAACUUUCAAUAUUUGUCGCUCCAAUUGUGAGAAUCACAAAGGUGGGUGUAUACGAGUGUUGGUGAGGAGCUUUUNNNNNNNNNNNNNNNNNNNNNNNNNNNNNNNNNNNGGAACAUGUCUUCAAUAGCCGGGGAUUAUUGUGACUACAACAUGGGAGACUAUGAUUGUAGUGAGGGGUUUUAAGGCUACGAAGUUGAGGGAGAUUGCGGAGGCUAUAAAAAUAGCCAUGAUCAAAACUUGGGCAGAUUUGAGAGUUAUUGUUUUGAGGGAUAAAAUAAGGUGAAUGAAGUGCCUAGGGCUUAUGGUGAACUUGGAGAUUAUGUAGGACCUCAUGAUAGAUCUUAUGAUGACAUUGAGGCAUGUGAGGAGUCUUACACUUCUCAGUCCAAACCUAGAUUUGGUGUUAGGUAUAACCCUUUCGUUCGCAAAGCUUAUGAGAGCUAUGAUGAGAGUUCACGUGAGGAGUGUGAAGAUUCAUAUUCUCCACCUAGUAGUACUUAUUAUCAAGGUUGAUAUAGGGUGAAUGGUUAUACUACUCUAGUGGAGGUUGUCCAACGAGAAGAAGAGGGUAUGCAUCUCCGAAAUUGAGGGGUACUCGUGUUCUUUACAAUGUUGAUCCGAGAAGGAGUGUACACUCCAGAAAGGUGACCAUUUGUGGGAUACUGGGCUUCCUCGUUGUGUUAAAUGAUAGGUACUAUAGUAACUACAUCGUUCCAUCCAUGGUUGACUACUUGGGGUUGUUUCGCGAGACUUUACUUGUUUCAUAUUUCUUGGAUGGGUUUAAGGUUACCAAAAGGGUCAAAGUUGUCUUCUCCCAAUUUGAAUACCAUAAGAAGGUGUGGUGCGAUAUUCUUCCAUUGACAUAUAGUUAUGUAUGCUUAGGUGCUGAUUGGUUUGCACAACAUAGAGUUCCAAAUGUGCAAAAUUAGCCUAAUGUUGUAGAGAUCGGUGGGGAAAUCACCUCGUUACAUACAUGCUGCCCGAGCCGCAAACAGAAGUAAAUACUUACUACAAUCCAAAUGCUUAUGAGAUACAAAAGAUUGAGAGGAGUAAGGGUGUGCAAGGUGGUAAUCCGUGAGUGGAAAAAGAAGAGGUUGUGUGGAGUGAAGUGAGAGGAUUGCCACCAAACUGCGCUAACAUUGUUUUUCCUUCUAUUUCUACGAACAUUUGUGUAGGUACCGACAUGGCAAGUGAAAGAGCGUAAUGCCGAAGUAAAGUUGCUGCCCAAGCUUGUAGAGGACCUUCACAACAUAGCAAAGGAGAAUCGACUCAAGAACUUCAAGGUAAAAUAGCUAAUUCUUACACUUUUGUGCAUGUGAAUGAUAAUUGUGUGGCUAGUAGCCCAGUGAGUGUAAGUAGUAGCUUACUUAAUUGUGAGUCUAAUGAUUCUUUGACUUUUGUUGAUGAUGUACAUGUUGUGAGUGUGGAUACACUAAUUGAUCCUAUUGAUGACCAAAUUGACUCUUCUUGUAAGAUCAAUUUAUGCCCACCUAGUGUUGAAGCCUAUAUGUUGAACGAAAGUACAUUGUCUUGUGUCAUAGGUGUUGAUCAACCUAUUUGUAAAAAUUGUCCACCAUUUGAGUAUGUGUGUGAUGUGAUUAAUCAAACUCAAGUGAGUGAAGUAUUUGAAAAAGUUGGUCAACAAAAGGGGAGUGAACUCGAAAGAUAUUCUUGGGAUAAUCUUGUGCUUGAAACCGUUUUGAAACUUGAUAUUGAUCUCUUAGAGAGUGAGGAACUUGCUUGUUCCAAAUCUGCCCAUCGGUUAGAUCAUGCACUCAUUAGGCAUAAUGUCUUCUUUGAAAAUGAUAUAAACACUCCUAAUGAGCCUAAUGGUGAAAAAGAUAGUAUAGCUUACCUUGGAGGCUAUAGCCUAUAUGUUAACCCACAUGGUGUAACAACAUUUCUCCUAAAUAUGGAAAUGUCUUCUUGGAAGAUGAGAGUAGUCUUAAGGGUAAGGAAUGUGUAGUCCUAGAAGUUACUCCUUCUACUUUGUGUGACUUUAUUGUUGAUACUACUCAUGGUGAUAAUUGGGAAACUCGUAGUGAGUAUACACAUGAGGUCACCUUAGUAGAAGUCGACUUGAGAGAUACUUUUCUCUACUCUCUAUUUUCUUUUGAUGAUAUGUAUGCUAUUGUAGAGAGUAUGUCAUUUAGUUUGGGUAGAGACCACGGGAAAGGGGAGUGUUGUCUAGACCCGUGUCUAUGGCCACUCUUCCCGGUUGACCCCGGUGCCAAAUAUAAAAUGGUGAUGUUGGUGCACCCAACUUGUUGCUUGGUCUACAUGACAAACAAAGUGUCACUUUU
RNAcentral lists this long non-coding RNA (67075 nucleotides) under Capsicum annuum. Its description in RNAcentral is "long non-coding RNA (CANN_LNC003238)". The record is from RNAcentral. Lineage: Eukaryota; Viridiplantae; Streptophyta; Magnoliopsida; Solanales; Solanaceae.